RNAcentral lists this long non-coding RNA (55178 nucleotides) under Linum usitatissimum (flax). RNAcentral's name for it is "long non-coding RNA (LUSI_LNC006001)". The stretch from base 26662 to 26740 matches the Rfam family "Small nucleolar RNA Z122". The record is from RNAcentral. Lineage: Eukaryota; Viridiplantae; Streptophyta; Magnoliopsida; Malpighiales; Linaceae.
UUCUUUUCUCUUUCUAGAGCUGGUGAGAGAGUGGUCGUUCAAAUCCUGACAAACUAUCGCAAUGUUCCCUUUUAAAGCACCUGAAUCCUGAAAACUCUUUUCUUAAUAUCUUUUGCAAAGACUGACUCACCACAUCAUUUUUUUCUAGACACUCACCUACUGCCCCAUGAAAGACUAGUACCGUUACAUGUGUCGACUCACCUUCUCCCCUCUGAGGUUCGUGACGCCUCUGAGGAGUAGGUAGCAUACCGUUAGGGUUACAAGAAAACCGGGCUCUAAUACUAGUUGUCAAACCCCACCCUAGGAGUCCCAGUCAAACCACUAGUUCAACCGAUGAGUCUUACUCAGUUUUUAACUUGAACCACACUCAACUCUAGGCUACUAAUAAAAACAUUAAGACAAGCAUUAACAGCUUAAACUGAACACUUCAAUAAAAUUGACAAACUAGGAUCCGAAAUCCCAAAACACAACAAAUCAAAAAGAGAUGCAACUCCAGUUUAAAAAUACAUAAAAAUUAUAUCCUCUAAUAUAUAAAAACCAACCAGCUUUCUCCCCUCCAUCAGCUCCAAUACCUGUGACUGAACACAUAGAUAUGCCAAGAAAAACAAGUCUAAUGGGGUUAGUGAUAACCAUUGAGUGGCUAAACUAGGCUCGCAUAAAACUGCAACUAUACUAAGAAAAUAGGGCAAGAAUCAAGUAAUGUGACUCUGCGGUCCUGUAGGGAUCAUCCUAUCAAUAGUCACCCCUAACUAGUAGCUGAUAGCCUCAUGAAGGAUCAUACCAUGAAACCACCCGUUGAUACCGUGUGAGCAGCAUCUGUACGCAUACUCCACACAUCUUGCAUGACCGUAGAAACAUCCUGGGGGAUUUUGCAAUCCAUGGGUGGGUGACCAACACACAUAAGGAGCUAAUCUAGCUAAAUCUGAAUUUUGUCCUAAGCAUGAACUGUGAACCACAGUUCAAAUGUCAUGAGCUUAUGCUCGAACUUAAACAACUACCUGUUCAGUAGAUCACACGCUACUGCACAGUGUAUGAGCCCGACUCUGUUUCAUAACCCAUGUAUAGUAGAUGACACGCUAUUGCACAGUCUUGAGAGCCCGGCUCCGAAACACAACACAUGUACCGUAGAUCACACGCUACUGUACAGUCCUGAGAAUCCGAUCAUCGCAUUCCUGACAAUCCUAAUUACAGUUAUAUGCUUAAGUCAAAAAGUAAUCCUAACCCUCACCUAUUAAGAAGGGAUGGCAUUUCUGAUUCUCACUUGACAUGAUUCCUCUCACUGCCACUAAUCUAUAGCUUCUGACCGUGCAUCAUUUGGAGUUUAACCAAUUGAGUUAUACUCCAUUUACUUGUAGCAAUCUGAAACUUGCUAGGACAGAAACGUGGCGCUAAUCCUCCAACUGCCUCCAUUACACUAACUGAUCCAAAACUUCUACUCAUUGACAAAACUAACCCAAGUCCUUAACUAUAAAACAUCCAAAAGUUCAAAGUUGCUAAAGGUCCUCAACGCGUCCUACACACCACCAAAGCCGUUGCACCCUUGCCGAACGCGGAUGGCGCCACCGCUACUGCUAUUCCUAAAGCUCCGCCUUGAAUCUCCUCAAUCUCCUCCGAAAUAGUGAUCGGCACCGCCACAACUCCAUCCUCGUUUGCCCUCGAUCGAUGGAAUUCAAAAUCCUCACCUCUUGGCGUCAAAACUAAUGGCAACAAGUAACUUACCCUGCUCAUCGUCUCAGUGCAUCACCAGUUAGAUCAUGGAAGGGAAGUUAAACCAUUCUCCCACUUGAUGGUAAUGGGGCCCAACUCCACAAUCUGAUCCAUCAUACGGCCCAAGGCCCACCUCAACUUUAAUUGGACUCAAGGCCAUAAUUUAAGCCUAGGGUGGCAGUCCUCACCCUUCACUUGAAUGGUUCAAGUCCUAUCCAGAGCUAUAAAAUCAAUCUAACGGUCUAGAAAUCUUCGAGUUCAUAACUAACAAUUCACAGGCUUAACCCCUCUUCUGAUGGACUUAGUCAACCCAAUAACUAUCUCGAGCCUUACAAAUCUUUAAUACUUGGUCAAUUGCUGAGUCAACUCAUCAAAUUAAUUAAAUUAAUUCAUUUUUCAACUUCCGACUUCUACUCAACGAGUAAGUUUUGAAUCAAAAAAAAUUUUAACCGAACCAAAAAUUGAGGUGUCACAAUUGUCUACAGUAUGCUUAGCUUAUACAUGUGAUGGUUAGACAGUUAUGUUCAUGUUUCUACUUGAUGAUGUGAAAUUCAUUAAACUAAGAUAAGUUGUUAAACUAUAAUAAGUCCUUAAAUUAUGAUAAGUCAUGUUCAUGAGAUCCAUGUUAUGGCAUGUCUUUUUUCCAGGAUUAAUGCUCCCAUUAUGUCCAUCAUAUUCAUGUUACGGUUAGGUAGUUAUGUCAUGUUAUGUAUUAUUUAAUGAUGUGCAAGUUGUACCCUCGAAUUAUGAUAAGUCAUGUCAUGUCUCCCUGAUAAGGGUUUAUCUCAUUUUCAUGUGAUCCAUGUUAUGGUUAAGUGGUUAUGUCAUGAUAUGUUGGGUUAUUACAUGAUGAUGUGCAAGAUGUGCCUUGAAUUAUGAUAAGGCUAGACUACUUCAAGGUUAGGGUGUGAUAUGUCUACAUGACUAGUGAGUAGUGAAUAAGUACACGUUACUUAGACAAGUAAUGUGUAUUAGAAACAUGUAACUUUCUGGCUAGACCACCACCCCCUAUGUUGUGAUCUCAUGGUACCGUCUGAUGGAUACAUACUCACGGACUCUCACGUUCACGUUUGGGCCGGUAUUGCCCCUCAUGUUACCGUCUGACUGAUACGUACUCGCAGACUCUCACGUUCAUAUUUGGGCUGAUAUUGCCCCAUGUUUCUCACGUUUGGGCCACAUUUUUCCCCUUAUGUUACCGUCUGAUGGAUACAUAGUCCCAAACUCUCACGUUCACAUUUGGGUGUUGGACUAGUUAGUUGAGUUGGGGGGGGACGUCCCGCUAUUGAAAGUUCAAGUGAUAAGAUACCUCAGAUAAGUUCAUGUACAAGUAUGUCAAGUUCAAGGGAUAAGAUAACUUAGAUAAGAUCAAGUAUAAGAUUCAAUGUUAUGUGUUUUCAUGUUCGCUAAGUGAUGUUGGUGAUAAUGACCACCUGAUAUGAUAUGUUCAGUGAUUGUCAUGUGCUGAUGUGUUGUGAUAUGUUCAAAUGUUUCUUAGAUGUGAUAACUAUGUGUUGGGAUAAAUAUUCAUGUAAUGAUGUGUUCCUUAUGUUCCAAUGUGCCAUGGAUUUGAUGACUAGUUGUGAUCAAUAUUCAUGCAGUGAUGUGUUCCUUAUGUUCCAAUGUUCCUUUAGAAUGGAUUAGAGGUUCAACCUUUGAUGAUGACUAUGUUACUUGCCAUGUUGAGUUCUCAUGUGUUAGGAUUACACAAAGAUGGAUACUAUAUCUUAUAUGCCUACUUAGCUAGUAUCAAUGAUGCCUUAUACAAUGAUAUGUUUUUGUCUUCCCUAUGUUCUAGCAUGAUACUCAUGUUAUGUGUCUACAUAACUAAGUCAGAAUAUGUUGUGGUUAGAUAACUAGAAAGCAUGUCCCUAAGUAAAGGCAAUGUUUGAAUAUAGCAAUGUCUGAUUAAGGUGAUGUCUGAAUAAGGUAAUGUCUGAUUAAGAUGAUGUCUGAAUAGUUUGAUGUCUGGAUGAGUUGAUGUUUGAAUAAUUUUGAUAUUGUUAAACUUAAGUUGGAAAUCAUAUGUGUUAUAUUAGAGCAUAAUAGACUAACCCCAGAACCACCCACUAGGGUGUUUCUAAGUUGAUGCAGUAGUAGAGUUGAGCUGAUUCGGAUGUGCAGCGAUGGACUUGGUAUUCAAUGUCGGGUUUGAGUUUCAAGUGUUUAUUCUGAGACUUGAUUCUUUUCAUGUUGUCUUAUGUUGGAGCACUCUCCGCUUUUGUUAAAGCAGAUGAUCAUUUUCUAUCUUUUUGGUUGUUCUAUUUAAAUAAAGUUUUUGAAAUUCCUUUGAGUUGAGUCCCUAUAGGGCAAUUUGGUUAUUAAAUAAAUAGAAAGUUUUUGGGGUGUGUCACAAGCGCCCGCGACAAAGAGUAAAACCUGCGACCAUUGUAUGAGCGCUAAUGGAUUUAUUCAAACGUUGUCGCAGUCCGCCUAAAACAAGAGCUCGACUGCGAUAAACAUAGUGAAUGACUACCCUUCAGCAGCCGAUCUCCACUCAUUCCACACAGCUUCAACUCUCCUCCCAUCUGAAAUCCUCCUAUUCCUCUCAAUUUCCUCCAUCGAUUUUCUCCUCUUCUCUUCUCCAAUUUUGUCACCCCGACUUCCACCCUUUUCUCGAAAUCGCCAAUAUCAGCUUACUGUUACUAACAAGAAGCAUAAGAGUUCGAUUUUGAUAUAGUUGUGUCGGGCAAUCGCAUUGUGUUUGAGUUGAAGAAUCAGGGGGUUAAACCUGUAGGUCCACUUCAUUCCUUCAUGGGAUACUACAUAAGUGAGUGUACAAGAAAUUAUGCUUACUACCCGGUCUCUCCAAUCGAAUGGAAGAAGUUGUCGCCCCAAUUGAAGACACGGGCUUGGGAGCAGUUUGUGCUAGUAAGUAUUAUUUUAGUUUUUUUAAUUAGAUAUAUUUUUGUAGUUAAAAUUGUAACUAGUUAGUGCUUAAUUGAUUUAUAUUAUAAACCUCUUUUCACAUUGAGGCGAAUGAGAUGGUUGAAGCUCGCAAAUAUUGGGAUCGCAAUGUUGGAAGACUGUUGGGGGAAGUCAAGGAUCACAAUUUGGCAAGCUUAGUUGAAGCAUGCACAAAUAAACCAACUCCCUCCAUAGUGGAUUAUGAAUAAUUCCUUGACAGGUUGUCCAAUGGCUGAUUGGAUAACGUACUUGUUGCGAGUUAACGACAAGUAGUUCGAGAUAGUACAUAUAUUUACAGAUUUCUAAUUGUAUUUGAUUGUAGUUUUUAAUACCGACUCAAGAACUUUUAUGUGCUUGAGUCAUAUCAAAUCAAGCCGCUCAAAUGGAAAACCAUAAAGGAGGGAGAAGGCCAUGUGAUACAUAUGUCAAGGAAACCAUUGAGAAGAUGGGUAAGCCACCUUCUCUACGCCAGAAGUUCAUAAAGUUCUUCCACUAACUAGAUGGAAGUUACAAAUCAGAACAUGGAAUACUUGUGGUGGUAAUGACUAGUUUCCAUAUAUAUAAUAGAUAUAGCUUUAAACUAGAAGACAAUAGAAUUAAUUGAACAUCUGUUAUGUAGGAGACUAUCAGCAACUAGAGCGGGAAGGAGCACCGACUGAGGUUGGGCCUAAUGACUCAUUGGCUCAAACACUAAACAAGCCAAAGCAUCGAGGCCACGUUCGGAUGAUGAGUUUGGGGUUUACCCCACAAUGGUAAUAAUGUUCAAUUUCAAAUUUGUUCUUUCUUGGGUCGUUAGUGUUUGUACCUUGUUUGGUGAUAUUUGUACUGUUUUUUCUUUAAGGUAUUUGGUGGUGCUAGCACUUGUUCAUCAUCAUCAUCAGCUCCUUCUGCCUCUGGGAAUGCAAGUGUGUCCUCAAAUGCUGCUCCUAGUGCUCCCCCUCCCUUACGAGAAGAGUUUGAUUGGAUGUCGUAGCAGAUGGCAUUGAUGUUGCAACAGUUGGCUACAAUGUAUUACAUGAUGUCGUCGGAGCUCGCCGGUGCUUUUACCUAAGUUUUGACUCCUGGGAUAGUUCCUGGUACUCCAUUCAAUCCAAGUCCUCUAUAUCUGUAUUAGGAGCCUAUGCAGCAGCAACAACCAUCUCAACAAUAGCAACAAGCUCAUGAGACCAAUCUUAUGGGUUACUUCCCAUUCUCUCAAGAAGCCAAAAAUCAGUUUCGCCUUCAUGGGAUGAUGGCGAAGCCUUUUCUUCCCUUCUUCAUACAUUAGAAAGAGUGAGUUUUAUAAUUAGUUUCUUGAAAUUUCAAUUAGAAUUCAUGUUUGUACUUACUUGUGUUUUUUAUGUUUAUAUAUAGGUCCCCAUUCCAGACACGAGGGAGCAACGAGAUGAUGAUGAUUGUUCGUAGUUGUAUUUCUAGUUAGUUCUAGCUCUCUCCCCAUCCCUAUUCCCAUAUAUUAUGUAGUAUUUGAAACUUCUAAGAUAGUUUCUUAAGAUAAUUUCUUAACGUUUGCAUAUUAAUGUUUGUUAUUGUAGUUUGGAAUUAUUACAUGAGAUGGUAAUUAUGGAAUUAUUAUGUGUUAUUAUGGAAACCUAAAAACUGCUCUAAAUUCUAAAAUUCUGCUCUAAAUUCUAGAACAUUGAAAAAGCUCUAUAACUGCAAAGGUAGAUCAAUUUGAAAGUGAUAGGUGGCACCAUACCAGAAUAGACACAUCUCCAGCAUUAUUGUAAUAGGCUAGUCGCAGGCCCUUUCUCGCAAGUGUUGACUACGAUUGGCCGGUCACUGGUAGCGCCUGUGAUAAAGCGCCUACAACCAGCCAAUCGCAGCCAACGGCUACGACAAGGCGAGCUUUGUCACAUCAAUAAUUGUCGCAUGCCUAUUUCUAUUUGUCGCAUGCACUGUAUGUAACCAUCCUUCUAUUUUAUGGCAGGCUGGCCUGCGACAUUGUUUUGUUUUUGCUUGUGACUGUUUUCCCUUUUUAUUGCAGUGUAAGUUAUACACUUUCAUGCAUUAUUACGUGUUGAAGAUGGAUUCUAACGUGAUUUUGAAAGCUCCUAGACCGAAACGAGUGACCAUUUAGUUUGAUUCUUUUAGUAAUGUGUAAAUGAAAAGUCUACAUGCUAAAUAUAAAUUCAUAAAUUUGUUCUCAAUAAUAAAAAGUUUACUAGUUAAGAAUAGUUGAAAUAUUGAUGGACGAUGUUAAGUUCAUCCUUCCAUAAAUUUAAUUCACAAACUUAAAAUGAUUCGUAAGUGAAAUGUUAGUAUUAAGACGUUCACAGAUGAAAACAACAAAGAUUGAACAUCAAACUGUAAAGAUAAAAAUAAACUGUAUCUCAUAUUAUUUGGAAUUAAGNNNNNNNNNNNNNNNNNNNNNNNNNNNNNNNNNNNNNNNNNNNNNNNNNNNNNNNNNNNNNNNNNNNNNNNNNNNNNNNNNNNNNNNNNNNNNNNNNNNNNNNNNNNNNNNNNNNNNNNNNNNNNNNNNNNNNNNNNNNNNNNNNNNNNNNNNNNNNNNNNNNNNNUAAUAUAAUACUCAUAAGUGGACAUAACAUAGACAUAAUCCACCUAUAAAGUGGACACAAUGAUUAUAUAUAUAAUUUUAUCAUAAUAUGAACAUAACAGUGACAUAAUUUACUUAUAAAUGUAACAUAAUAGUGAAUUAACAUACUCAUAAGGUGAAUAUAAUAGGGACAUAAAAUGUUCGUAAACCAAGCCUAAAAGAUGCCUAAUAAACUUAUAACUUAGACAUAACAUAGGCAUAAAAGAAUUGCAGUAGUACUGAUAUUUAGGUUAUGUAGCAUAAUAGCCUAAAACAAGUGGUCUACUCAAAACACUAAAAAUUGAUAUAUAAUCGUAAUAUAAUUGUUCUAUGACAGUUAUCCGUUAUUAACAUAGAAGUUGUACAAACAUAUUGUGACACCUUGAUUUUGGGUUGAGUAUGAUUCUAGGAUAGUAUUGGUUUUUGUGAGUCGGUGAGAAUCACUGUCAGACGGUCCGUCACGGGCGUAUCGGACAGUCUCUCAUAGGCGUGAUCAUCAGGUAGAUCAUGAUCGUGGUCAAUGAUAGUCACGAACGUGGCAGCCGGAGGAUGACGGCCGUGACCAUCAGUAGGUCAUGGACGUGGUUUCCAUGUCACAACGGGUGAGGUAAGCAGUACGCCAUGGGUGUGGUGGACAACUUAUGAAACCUAAUUUUCUUCUUCCUUGCAAACUUCUGACGAGCGACGAUUGUUCCAGGCACAGGGGAAAGUCUUGUUGAUCGAUCCAGACCAGUAGGAGAGGCCUAGAGAUCAUCGAGGAAGCUUUAGGAGGUAAUCUACCUUCUUCCUCGUUCGUCAAUCCUUUUCUUUGAAUCCCAUGUAGGAAAAUCCUGACAGGUUUGGAUUUGGAGUUUUGGGAUUUCAAUUUUAUGAUUGUUCCCUUCAGGUUAUAUGGAUUAGGCAAGCAAACUCUAGGUUUCAGAUCAUACUCUUCAGAGGAAAGCUUUCAGAGGUAGGGGUUAGGAUUACUUUUCUGCUUUAUGCGAAGAAUUGUAAUUAGUUGUCAGGAAUCCUUGUUUGGAUUUUCAGAAUUGUACAAUAGUGUGCGAUCUACUGUAUAGAAAGAUUUGUUAUGCAGUUUAGAGUUUCGGGUUGUACAAUAGCGUGUGAUCUACUGCAUAGGCAGAUGGUUAUGAUUCGAGCAUAAGCUCACAACGAGAAACUAUGCAUUUAUACAGUUCAUGUUAGGAUUAAGAAUCAGAACUAGAAUAUACUAGCUCACGAUAUACGUUGGUCACCCACCCUAUAGAUUGUGCGAUCCCCGAGGCUACAUUUACUUUCAGGUAGGACUUGACGAUAAUGCCUUCAGUUGCUGCUCUCACGGUCUGAUCCACCAUGAGGUCAUCCGCUCAUAGCUAGGGGUGGCUAAUGUUAGGAUAAUACCUAGAGGACCACAUGGUCACAUUACUAGAUACUAGUUCAGUUUUUCAUGUUCAGGGUCAGCUGCUCAGUGCUUAUCACUGACCUUGUUACAUUUCAUUAUACAUGAUCAACCUUGGGACUUCAGGAGCCAAUGCCGCUUAAGAAAGGAGCAUGAGUAGUGACACCACCUCGCAGUGAGUCUGGGAGUCACACAGAGAGGUACCAUCGAGUACCUCAGCUGUCUCUUUCAGUGUUUUCAUAGUUUUAAGACAGUCUUUCAUGUUUUUUCAGUUGUUUGUGAGACUUAUUUUACAGUGGUUGUUUUCCCAGGUUUGGGAUGUCUUUUAGUGAUGUUCAUUUUUGAAUUCGAGCCAUGAUGCUCUGUUUAUUUUUUGCUGUCGUUUUACUUAAGUAUUGAGGAUUUUCAGUUCAGUUAAUGUAUGUCAGUUGUUAUGAUAUAAGUUUGAGUGAACCCAUGAGCAAUGCAUGGAUAGAACCGUGUGGUUUGAUCGAGUCAUCUAGGGGUGGGUUUCACACAUAUUAGUUAUAUUAUGUGACAUUAUAAUAAAUAAUAAAGGGAAUAUUGUCAUUUACCCUCUUUUACUUCACCCAACUCGCAUUAAGCCCUCUAUACAAUUCAAUGUUCCAUUAACCCCUACACAUUGCCCACUUUACCAUUCGUCUCCUUCCGUUACGCUUUCCAUAUGUACACCGUUAAAACCAUACAACUCAACAUGCCAUGUAAGUUUUUCGGCACCACAUCAGCGUUUAAUUCCUUUAACAAUUCAUGAAAUAUAAAAAAUUCCAGACACCCUUCUUUCUUCACUCUUCUCCACUCGACCCCCAACCUUUCUCACAUCCGAUGCAGCCGAACUUCGCCCCGAGGGUGAACACAAGGAGAGGAGGGUUGCUAGAUUUUGGGUGUUGUUUUUGCACUCAAAUCCGAUUCAAAAGAAAUAUUGGCCACACUGGAAAAAAGUUAUGGUUUGAUCAUCCUCUAAACAUUCGUAGCAGUGUAAUUCAAGGUCUUAAAUUGGCUACCACUACCAAUUGGAAAGUGAGCAAGCCAAUUUGUAGCGAACACCAAGUGUUCAACAAAAUUCUUAGAUGCUAAAAGACUCUUACUGGCAUCACAAACACUUGACAAGGGUGCUAAGUCACUAUUUGACACCCCCUAACAUUCCAAUCACCUAAAUUGUCACUACCUAAGUGAUUACCAAAAUGCACUCAAGGUGUUAGAUAAAAUGCCACUAAGAGAAUCCUCACACUAAUGGUUGAAUUGGGGUGUGUGCUUGGUCCACACACCCUUACCCCAAUCUUGGACUACACACUUACUCAAGUCAAGCACAAUUAAGUAAUUGAAAGAGUACAUUUGACCUAGAACAAGCCAUAGCACAUUCUAAGUUGCAAUAACCAUAGUCCAACCAUUCUCAAAUACCAUAAUCCAUAUCUAACAUGUAUCCAAAUCCUCGUCAUGAGGGGAUCAUCCUAGUACAUAGCAAUACCCUAAUCUAACAACUAAAGAGUCUAGCCACUCAUCAUGACACUAAAACUAAAGAAAAGGGAUACAAUCACCAUCAAUCAACUAGUAUGAAGAAGAUGAUGAGGGUAGGAUCCUUCCUCAAAGCUCUACUAUUCCAAUUCCUUCAAUCCUUGGUCUUCUCUAGCUCCGAAGCUUCUUCAAGGUCUUCAAUUGAUCUUCUAAGGCUUCAAAUUGGGUGAAAAUCGAGAGAGGAGUCGGGUCUCAACAAUUGUUAUGACUGUAGUGUGAAUUGUUCGUCCAAUCUCCAUGGACCAUAUGCCAUGUGGACCAACACGGGCUCCAGAUGCCAUGUGGCCUAAUUUCCAGCUUAGGACUUUGUUCUUUGAUCGCACAUAUCUCCCUCGUCCGACCUCCGUUUGAGCUCUGGUUGGUCUCAUUGGAAUUUUCUCGUUGUUCUUUAUGCAUCGGAUACCUACAGCCUCAUAUAUACAAUGAGAAACGAGGUCGAACGGACCAAAAUGAUCCAUUUGACAAAAUGAAACAAGAACCCCUUUUUUUCUUCCAACCAAUCACAAAGGAGGGUCAAAACUAGGUCAAACAAGGUAAAAAACAGUCAAGAUGUGGUCAAAUUGGCAACAAAUAAUCGUGCUAUCACAUCCCCCCACACUUGAACGUUGCUUUUCCUCAAGCAAAUCUACUAAUCACACUCAAAGAGAACUCGAAACAGGGUGAAAAGAAAAUAUUUCCUAGCAUUUCAAGCCUAUUUCACGAUGCCAAGAUUGCAAGUCAAUCACCAAACCACUCAAUUAUGUAUAAGACAUUGAAUCCCUUAAAAAAUUUCACACCAAACUCUAAUAUAUAGAUAUUAUGAUUAGAUACCUAAACAAGCGAAUGUACUAAAGUUUCUCCAAUGCACUUAUGUCAUAUGGUACUAGCGGAAGAAAUGGACAGACAGACGGUCCUGGCUGGGUAUUUUUCCCGUCUUGAGGGAGGGGAUGCCUGAUCUAACAUAAACAUAACUAUCACCAAGUAUACUAGCAUCUCCCUCUUCUUUUACUCUACUUUGCUUUCUUUUGUAUUUAGUUUUCAACUAUCUUUUCUCCCUCUUUUUUUUCACAUGGAUGCUUUUUCCAAAUGAGGUGGUUGUGAUUCCAAUUAGGCUCAGAUCCGGUGAAUACCGGGCACCAGUACCGCAAUCCACACAUCGAAGGGUUGAGAAGAGGAGCCCGAGGUGUUGAGCAUACGAGUGGCAGAUCGAAAUCUACCUUGCGUGUUUGAAUCACAACCUUCCUCCAUAUCAUUCUUAAGCACAUUGGCCUCCUGUCCAUUUUGACUUCAUAAUACCAUAGACAAGUUCAAAAAGGAGAAUCAAUCAUACAUAUCGAGCAAGUAAAGGUGAAAACUCAAAACAUCCAUAUGUGCGAGUUUGAAGCAAACUAAUUUCAGGAAAAUGGGAGGUAGUCCACAAAUGAUUACUCAACAACCUAUUCGUCCUCAAGUAGUAUGAAUAAACUAGGUAUGCAUCCAAAGAGAUUCACAUAUUCAAAUUUGAGAGGGAGUAUCAAAAUUCAAGAGCAAGUCAGAAAAAAUGCUACCAAGAUAUGCACAAAAAUUCUCAAACCCGAAUAGUAUAAAAAAAUCCUCCCCCCCCCCACACUUGUACAACACAUUGUCCUCAAUGUGAAAAGAUAUAAGGGGAAGAGGGGUACCAAACGGGGGUGAGGAGUGAAGCCGGAUGAGAAGAUGAAGGAUCAAGAUCGAGUACCUAGAGUUUCACAAAAGGCAAGAACAAAAAAAAAACAAAAAAAAAACGCAGAAACAAACACGAAUAAUGGUCGAGUCAAGAGAAAAGAAGAUAUCUCAAGGCCGUCGAGGAGCUGUCUCAACAAGAAUCCAAUCCACUUAGGCAAGAGUAUACAAGAAUGUGCACAAGUAGAUAUGGAAGAGGCAAGAUGCAUAAGAUAUGCAUAACCAAUAAAGAAGAUAACUAGUUAUUCUCAACCAAGACUAACUAGCAAUCCUAAACAAGAGCAUCCUAUAAUCCAUAAAUGAGUAAGACAAGGGUGAGAAAAAGCUAUGGAACCAUCUCAACUCAUUUAGAAUCAAUUCCAGAAAGUUAUCAUCACAAACGUGUACCAAGUCCAAUCAACAAGAAUGAGCAUAAAGAGUGUAUGCAAAGCAUCAAGUGAACAAAGUAUGCAUCAUUCAACUAUAAUCAAUUUGAGAGCUCAAUGGACUACUAGUAUGCAUCAUUCUUCUUUGACUCAUUAACCAAAACAAUGAGCACAUAUGGAUAAUCAAAAGUAGUGGCAUGAUCAAAAUUCAAGCAUUAGAAGCAAUGAGCAAAGUCACAAUCAUCAAUUCAAUAAUUGGACGCAUCAAAUUCACCUAGCAACAACCUAGGUUCAACCAUACAAGGGAGCACAAAGAUGCAAUUCCAAAUUCUCAUCGCAAGAAUUCAACAACCCACAUAAUUCUUGUUCAAAAAUAUCAUAUUGGCAAAGCUAGACAUUCAAGUAGGCACAACCAUCUGAAACUGGCAAUUGCAAUGUUCAAAUUAGCACAAAAGCAUCAUUUGACCAAAUUUGACCACAAUUCAAACUUUCCACACACUCCAUCAAUCAAACCAGAGCAAACAGAACACAGACGACACAGAUUCAGGCCACAUCAUCAACCAAAAAGUCGUAGGCAGUCAAACGAGCUUUCCAACGCCGCUGGUCUUGCGAAAAACAAACGCUCGAGCAAGAAGUUAUGCUCAAAAUACCGAACCACAGCAUUUUUUCGCACAAGGCGACCAAUCAACGGAGGGUCAACGUCCGGUGAACCGGUCUGGUCAAACUCAGGUUGGUUCGGUUUGAAAAUCGGUUAAACAAUGCACCCCCUUCUUUGAAUAGUGCAUCUUGGCACAUUUUUAACACAAUCGAGCACGUUUCGGAGCUGGAAAUUCAAGUUUUUUUUUAGAAAACCCAUUGGAACUGUAGAUUUUGCAUAAAAAGUACGCUUUAGCCUUUUGUUUCCAAAAUCAAGCAAAUUUUAGGAUCUGAAAGUUCAAUUUUUUCAGAAAACCCGUAGGAAGUGUAGAUUUUUCAUAAAAGUAAGUCUGAGCAUAUUUUUUAGUAAAACAACCAUUUUUUAGCUCUCGAAAAUAUAAAAAUUUCAAGACUGCUUUUUUUCUUUUUCCUAAUGCAACGAAACUUCCUGCUAGCCUUAGGCACACUAAGAUAAGAUCAAGCAAAUCUCCAAACACUCGUUCUCUCGUCCCGGUCAUCACAAGAACACAAGAAACAAAAACACAAACAAAACACGACAAACACACAAUCAUGCAAGUUUUAUUCAAUUUUCCUACUCCUAAGCUACACUAUUCAUGACGAGACACCUAUGGUAUCACCAACUUGGUAAUGUUCAAGAUGCAUCCCACAAAGUAGAAGAGGGUCAAGAUGAGUAGAGGAGGUUACCUCGAUCUUGGAAGGAACGAACUUUUGUUACCAUAAAGGGGCCGGAGAUGAGGACUCUAUCGCCCUCUUUGAGUGCUUGUUUGGUGGGGAGGUGCAAAUCAUGGAGUUGCUUGAUCGCUUUCUUGCAACUCCCAUCCUUGACCUUGUGGACACUUUUUUGGUGAGAAGAAGGAUUCUUGGGCUCAAGGUCUGGUGGUUCUUCAUGCAUGUUCCUCGCCUUAGCAUGCACUCCCUUGAUCGAGAUAGCUUCGGUUUCCUUAUUAUACUAUUUCACACACUCGCUCAAGGAUGGAUCCAAGGCUUCAUGAUGAAGAGAUACAUUAAUAGCAUAAACUAAAGCCAUUUCAACGGGCUCGCCAAUAUCAUUAUCAUCUUGAGGAUCCGGGUGCUCCAUACCCCCGAUCAAUUGAAAUGUGGCUUCCUUUUGACCCACUCUCAAGGUAAGCUUACCCUCAAACACAUCUAUGAUUUCCUUCGACGUGUUGAGAAAUGGACGACCCAAAAUCAAUGAAACGUCGGUGUCUCCGGUGUCAAUCACAACAAAAUCCACCGGAAACAUGAACCUUCCAACAUGCAUAAUAACAUCUUCAACUACACCACUAAGCAAUUUUGUAGUUUUUUCCGCUAGUUGGAUGCACAUCUUAGUUGUUGUAAGUUGACCUAGGCCUAGUUUCUUGUACAAUGAAUAUGUCAUGACAUAUAUACUAGCACCUAGAUCUGCUAAACCUCUUUCAAUCACAACUUGACUAAUCAUGGAAGGGAGAAAGAAACUACCCAGAUCUUUGCGUUUGCAAGGGAGGUCCCUUGAGAGGAUUGUCGAGCAUUGCUCAUUGAGAUUGAUGUUGGAAGCUUCUAUGAGCCUUCGCUUGUUGGUGAAGAUCUCCCUUAGGAACUUGGCGUAUUGAGGCAUCCUUUCGAUUGCCUCGACGAAAAGAACGGUGAAGUUCAUAUUGCAAAGUCGAAGCACAAGUUGCUUUAAGCUCUUCUCGAGAAGAUCCUUAUCCAAUUGGUUGGGAUAAGGUGGCUUAGGGUUGUAUGGAGCCGACUGGGGCUAGGAGAUAGGAGAAGCCUCAGUUGAACUCUUCGUAGCCUUCUUGGAACCAACUUCAGUUGACACCUUUGGCUUUCCAUUACUCUUUGGAGCUUUCGGAACUAAUGCAUGCGGAACCGGUGCACUUUCUUCGACCAUCACUUCAUUCUCUUAAUCACUAGAUGCUUCAUUUUUCAUUAACAUCUUUCACAAGAAAUUCAUUAUCAUGCACAAGCUUGCUAGGUACAUCGAUAGGAGGAUCGAUUAAAUUUAGGAGUUGUGGACACAUAGUGUCUCAUGCUCCUAGUUGUGAUAGAUCCACAAGUUUCCUUGCUCUUUGGAUUGGUUAUGAUAUUUCUAGGUAGAGUGCACGGUUGCCGACUUGAAAGAGCGUGUGUGAGGUAUCCAACUUGAUUCUUAAGAUCCACCAUUUGAGCUUGAGUUGAGGCAUUGUGGGUGUCUUGAAAUGCUCUUUGCUCUUGAGUCACCUUGUUGUGCUCUUGGAAGAACUUAGCUUGAUUCUCAAUCAUUUGGUUUCCUCCAUUGAAGCUCCCUUGAACAUAAUCAACUUCUUUAAUGAAGUGCUCUUCCUCCGGUGCGAAAUCGGGAGCAAGGGAUUGGCAAGUAGAGGUGGCAUGCCCUUCGUUCCCAUAACAUUCACAAACAAAGAGUUGCACAACCAGUUGAUUCACCUUUGGUUCUUGUACCUCUUUCUUUUGAGGUGGAGUGGCGGUUGGUCUCACCACCGGUUGAGCCAAGGCAAGUGCUUUGAUUUGAGCCGCCAUGCCAUCCAUCCUUGAUAGCAUCAAGUGAACAAGAUGGUUGGGAUCUUCCUCCUUAUGUCCCGGCAUCUCCUUAAGGACCUUUGGAGCUUGAGUGCGAGUACAAACAUAAGGAUCUAUGCUCACCACCUUAGCUUCUAUAGGACCUUGUUGCCUAGACCAACUCUUCAUCUUCACCGCCAUUUCCCGGAAGACUUGAAGCCAUCAUUUGGCGAGGAGUGAUCUCAAGUCUCCUCCCGCCGCUUGAUUGGUCAUCUUGGUGUCCUCAUAAGUGAGUCCUCAUAAGUGAGUCCUCUAGCAAAGGUCUCCGCGAGUUUCCACUCAUUGAAGUUGAAGUUGUGAUGAGGGCAAGAGUAGAGAAGGGCUUGGGACCUCUCCCAAGCUUCAAAGAAUGGCUCUCCAUUAAUUUUCUCAAAGUUGGAGAUUCUACUUUGGAUCUCAUCCGUCUUGUAAGGCAGGAAGAAUUCCUCCAAGAAGGCCUUUGCUAGAUUGUCCCAAGCUUGGAAGGUAUUGUUUCGUUGGUUGUCGAGCCAUUGAUUUGCCUUCCAUUGGAGUGAGAAGGGAAGAGUCGGAGUUGAAUGGCUUCUUGCGACACAUGAUUGAACUUCAUUAGAUCCAUGAUCUCGAGAUAGCUACUUGGACAUUCGUGCUCGUGCCCAUGGUAUACGUUUUGUUGCACCAUUUGAAUGUAGUUGAACUUCAACUCGAAGUUCCGGUUAUCAAUAAGGGGUGGAGCACACUUGAAGAAGUACCUUCAAGAGUUGGCUUAGGUAAUCACCUAGAGUUCUUUGAGGUUCUUGAGCCAUCUCAAAGAUGUUAACAAAUUCAUCAGCCUCUCCUUUGCAAGAUGAAACAAUUGAUGAGUGAUCCAGGGUUGUUAAAGAAGUUGCGAUGUGAGGUGGUGGUGGUGCUUGAGGUGGAGAUGAGAUGAAUCUCUUUGGUAGACGCCUUGUACGCUUCAAUCUUCUCAUGCACUAAUAGUGCAUGAACGGAACCUACACAACAAAGCAAACAACCAAGGGAACACAACAAAGGAAUAAACACACAAGAAGGGGGUAGCAAUAAGUAAAAUGGAUUAGGUAGAAUGCCUAAAUCGGUGUCUAAUCUACUCUUUCAAGGGGGUGAUUACACUCCCCAACAAUGGCGCGAUUUUGAUCCUCUAAAAAAGAACCAAACAAACAUGAUCGGCUAAGAAAAGGGACUAAUCCCAAACCCAAGGUCUCAAGUGACAAUUUUCACGAGGAACAGACCACCAACCCUAUACUCAACUAUUAAAGACACGGUUUAAGCUCACAAAAGUUCAAAAUGCUAGUUCCUUAAAUUAUCCACUAAAGUACAUAUCAUUCACAAGAGUAAUUGGAACUAAAUUAAGCUAACGAACUAAGCAAACAAGAUACUAAAGAGGGUGAACACAAGGAGAGGAGGGUUGCUAGAUUUCGGGUGUUGUUUUUGCACUCAAAUCCGAUUCAAAAGAAAUAUUGGCCACACUGGAAAAAAGUUAUGGUUUGACCAUCCUCUAAACAUUCGUAGCAGUGUAAUUCAAGGUCUUAAAUUGGACUACCACUACCAAUUGGCAAGUGAGCAAGCCAAUUGGUAGUGAACACCAAGUGUUCAACAAAAUUCUUAGAUGCUAAAAGACUUACUGGCAUCACAAACACUUGACAAGGGUGCUAAGUCACUAUUUGACACCCCCUAACAUUCCAAUCGCCUAAAUUGUCACUACCUAAGUGAUUACCAAAAUGCACUCAAGGUGUUCGAUAAAAUGCCACUAAGAGAAUCCUCACACUAAAGGUUGAAUUGGGGUGUGUGCUUGGUCCACACACCCUUAAUCCAAUCUUGGACUACACACUUACUCAAGUCAAGCACAAUUAAGUAAUUGAAAGAGUGCAUUUGACCUAGAACAAGCCAUAGCACAUUCUAAGUUGCAAUAACCAUAGUCCAACCAUUCUCAAAUACCAUAAUCCAUAUCCAACAUGUAUCCAAACUCUCAUCAUGAGGGGAUCAUCCUAGUACAUAGCAAUACCCUAAUCUAACAACUAAAGAGUCUAGCCACUCAUCAUGACACUAAAACUAAAGAAAAGGGAUACAAUCACCAUCAAACAACUAGAAUGAAGAAGAUGAUGAGGGUAGGAUCCUUCCUCCAAGCUCUACUAUUACAAUUCCUUCAAUCCUUGGUCUUCUCUAGCUCCCAAGCUUCUUCAAGGUCUUCAAUUGACCUUUUAAGGCUUCAAAUUGGGGGAAAAUCGAGAGAGGAGUCAUAUCAUCAUACAUCUUAAUAUUAUCUCUAAUUGGGACCACCUCAAUAUUAUCUGCAACAAUCUCAUCCUCAGUGUCAACCUCUAUGGCAAGUAGCUGUUGUAACUCCGUUUCUGAAGAUGAUGCAACCACUCCACUAGAGGAGGCAUCACAAUGAACAGCAAACCUACAUGAACAAACUCUAUACGAUUGAGGUUACCAAACAAAUCACCCCACACUUAUCUUUUGCAUAAACCAAUAUGCAUUAAUCAAGCUGUAGAAAAAGAGAAGAGUGGGCUUAGAAGCAACUAUUGAACAUCUCAUCCAAAUAGGAAAUCUGUCAUAAUAAAGAAUACUCAACAUCAUUAAGGCAAUCCACGUAAGGUUUAGGGCACUUAGAAACUAUCCACAAAGUCACACAAACAAUGUAAGACAUGUAAAAUUUCAUAAAUUCUUAACCCAGAAAAAUACCGAGCAAAACUCAACAUUCCUAUGACACCUAAUCAUAUAAUUUCAAAGUGCAAAGGAUGUCAUUAACAUCCUAUAUCAUACCCAAUUGAAUUCUAGCAUCAUCAAUUUCACAAAACCUCAUAUUUGAAAUUUCAAGUUCUUCAAGCUAAUCAUCAAUCUCAACAAUUUAACCAAUCAGGGCAAAGUGAACAAGGAGAAACUGGGCAAAAUUCAAUGUAAACUAGCUCAAAACUCACUCAAAGUUGAUGAAAAACGAAGGGGGGAGAUUGGGGGAGGGUUCGGCGGUGACCGACAACGGUUCUAUGGUGACAGGAGUGCGGAGUUUUGAAUGACGGCAAAGGGGUAGGAGGGUGGAGUCGGCGUCAGUGGAAUGUUUGAAAAAAAUAUGGUUCAAAAAUCGGCUAAGGCUAGAAUAUUUAGAAACCCGUGUCAACUAUUGCAUUGUAGAAGUGUCAAAAAUGCGGUAUGGACAUAGCGCAAUGUUUGACAAAUCAUAGCGCAAUGAUUGAAAGGAUUUCCAGAACUCAAUGUCAACAUUUUUUCUAUAGAUGGUCAAUUAUUGCGCUAUGGGCAUAGCACAAUGCUUGACACAGAUCCAUAGCACAAAGGUUGACAUCCUAUUAUGUGAACUUCCAUAGUUCAUGAAAGAAUCAACACUCUUUGCAUUGACGACUGGGGACAAGAAUGACACUCAAGUAUCACGUUCUAGACUCGAUCUAACUCCUACACAUGCAAAUUGACUCAAAGAAUAUGAAAAAUACUGACUCCAGACAUGGGCUUCCUUCCAUGAAGCGCUCUUUCUUUAACGUCUUUGAGCUAGAUGAUACAAGGACCUCAAUUUAGCAUCUUCAAAGUAAUGAACUUUUACUCCAUCGGUAGGCUUGGUACUGAGAUAUAGCUUGAGACGUUGACCGCUGAAUUUAAUGUUCCUUGGUCCGGAUGUGUGAUCUCCACAAAUCGGUAGGGAAAUGAUUGUGUGACUUCAUAAGGUCCCGACCAUCUUGAUUGUAAUUUUCCCAAAAAUAGUCAGAGCUGGGAGUUGUAGAGCAGCACCUUAUCUCCCUACUUGAAUUCUUUGACCCCUUGAAUAUUAGCAUCGUCGAUUCGUUUCAUCCUUUCCUUAUAUAUACAUGAGCUCUCGUAAGUAUGAAACAUGUGCUCCUCUAGCUCAAGGAGCUAAUAUUUGCAUUCUGAAGCUACGAGACUAUCAUCCAUGUUUAGCAGCUUCAUGGCCCACCAUGCAUUAUGCUCAAGCUCGACCGGUAAAUGAUAAGCCUUUCCAUAAACGAAUCGAUACGGGAAAGUGUAGAUAGGGAUCUUGAAGGCGGUUCGGUAAGCCCAUAGAGCUUCAUCGAGCCAAAUCGACCUGUCCUUAUGAGACUGAUCGACUGUGCUAUCAAGAAUCUGCUUAAGCUCACGAUUCUUCACCUCCACUUGACCGCUUGCAUGUGGAUGGUAAGCGGUCAUCAAUCAAGGAGCUAUGCUAAAUGUUUGGCAAACUCAAUAGAAUUGACCCUGAAAGUGAGUGACUUUAUCGCUAAUGAUAGCAUGAAGGCCGCUGAAACGCAUGAAAACGCAUGUAAUAAACUUUCCCACUGUCAGAACAUAGUUAGUAGACAGCGGUUGCGCCUCUGCCCACUUUGAGACAUAAUCCACUUUGAAAUGUUACAUGUACGUUGGCAGUUGAUUUUGGGCUUUAAUCUGAAUUCUGUGAAUUUUGGAAAUUGGCUGAUCAAUGGACAGUCACAGGCAUGACAGUCAGUCUAUCACGGGAAAGGUUGUCAGACAGACCACGACCGUUGUCAGCAAACAUUCAUGGGCGUGACCACUGGAAGAUCAAGGGCUUGACCAUCAGGAGGUCAUGGUUGUGACCAUCAGUAGGUCACGGGCAUGGUUUCUAUGUGGCCACGGGUAUGGUGGUAAGUUGGACAUGGGCGUGGUGGACUUAUUAUAUAAGGACAGUUGCAACUUACAACUCAGAAUUACUGAAACCUAAGAACUUUGAAUCCCUCUGCAAAUGGCAAUCAAUUUCAGGAGAUGGAGAAAUCCCAUUUGAUCUAAUCCCAAAUCAUUAGGAAAGGUCUAGAAAUCGUUGAGGAUGCUUCCAAAGCUACUCAAUCUUCUUCCUCCUUUCUCAAUCCUUGAUUGGAAAUCCUACGUAGGAAAUUCCUGACACAUUAGGAUUUGGGGUUUUCAGAUUUCAAUCCUAUGAAUUAAUCUCUACGGGUCAGACAGAACAUGAGGCUUGAUCUUGGGAAGGUAGCUUCAUAUUAGACUCUACUAGGAAAGCUAAUCAGAGGUGGGGGGUUAGGAUUUCUUUUCUGCUUUAAGUGUAGAACUGUAAUUAGGAUUGUCAGGAAUCCGAUUAUUAGAUUCUCAGACUGUGUAGUAGCAUAUGAUUUAUUGUACAUGUGUUGUGAUUUGAAGGGCUCUCAAGACUGUGCAAUAGCGUGUGAUCUACUGUACAUGUAUUACGAUUUUUAGAGCCAAGCUCUUAGUAUUGUGCAGUAACGUGUGAUCUACUGUACAUGGGUUGUGAAACAGAGCCAGGCUCUCAGACUAUGUAGUAGCGUGUAAUCUACUGUACAUGCAGUUGUUUAAUUUCGAGCAUAAGCUCAUGGUGAUUAAACUAUGCUUGUGAUUCACAGUUCAUGUUAGGACAGGAUCAUGUUUAGCUAGAUUAGCUCUCGAUAUGCAUUGGUCACCCGCCCAUGGAUUGCGCAAUCCCUUAGGUCAUGUUCAGGCUCAUGUUGGACGUGUCGAGUAUGCCUAUAGAUGCUGCUCACACGGUUUUCAGGAUGGUUUCAUAGUUUGAUCCACCAUGAGGCUAUCUACCAUAGCUAGGGGUGGUUGUUGUCAAGAUGAUGCCUACAACCUGUGAGUAAUGCAUGGGUCGAACCAUGUAGUUCGAUUGGGUCUUCUAGGGGCGUGUUUCACGGUAAUCUUCUAUAUAUGUCCCGAAAGCAAGGAUGGUGGCUAUCUCGGUAAACCACUAGCGCUUGUAGAGGUGAUGAUCCGAGACUUCCUUUGCUUCUUCCAAGAGAAAUAAUUGAUCAUCCAGAAAGAGCUCAUUUAUCUCUGCUUCAGCGAAUCGACCCAGAGAAGGCCCUUCAAGGUGCGAUAGGUGGUUAGCUGCAACGUUCUCUGAUCUCGCCUUGCCCUUAAUAGUCAUGUCAAACUCUUGAAGGAGUAGCACCUAGUGAAUCAAUCUCAAGUUCCCAUCCUGUUUAGCUAUAAGAUACUUAAGAGCAAAAUGGUCGCCGGAAUCUGGGCAGAGGUCGCCAGCGGUAACGGCCUCACUAGAGAAGAAGGGUGACCUCCCCACAAUCAUGAGGAGUUCAGUGACCAGAUCUGCAAAGUCUGAAAGAUAAGUUGCUGUUGUGCAUUUGAAUAUUCUAAAGUCUAGCUUCCGUAGCUCUGAAGUUUUGGAUGGUUUACAGUUAUGGACCUUGGUCAGAUUUUUUAUCAUUUGGAAGUUCUAGAUCAGUUAGUGUAAUGGAGGUCAUUAGAGGACUAGAGUAACAUUUAUGUCCUUAAAAUUUUCAGAUUAUUGCAAAUAAGUAAAUGGAGAAGAACUCGGUCGUUUGAGCUCCAAAUGACGCACGGUUAGAACUUACGGAUUUAUGGCAACGAGAGAAAUCAUGCCAAGUUAGGAUCAAAGGUGUCAGAUCUUCUUAACAGGUGGGGGUUUAGGAUUACAUUCUGCUUAUAAGCUUAGAACUAUAAUAGGAUGUUAGGGAAUCCGAUUAUUGGAUUCUUCAUGUGAUUCAGAGCAAGGGCUCUCAGGAUUGUACAAUAGCGUGUGAUCUACUGUAUAAAUGUUGUGAUGUGAUUCGGAGCAAGUGCUCUCGGACUAUAUAGUAGCGCAUAAUCUACUCUAUAGAUGUUGUGAUGUGCUUUGGAGUGUGGGCUCUUAGGCUGUACAAUAGCGUGUGAUCUACAGUAGAGGCAAUUAUUAUAAUUCGAGCAUAAGCUCUUGGCGUUUGGACUGUGGCAUGUGAUUCACAGUUCAUGUUAGGAUAGGAUAGGCCUAGAUAGACUAGGUCACAAUUAUGAUACGUCGGGCACCCACCCAUGGAUUGCACAAUCCCCCAUGUUAUAAUCGGGCUCAGGCAGGACGUGUUGAGUAUGCAUACUGAUGCUGCUCAUACGGUAUUCAGAGUGGUUUUAUGGUCUGAUCUACCGUGAGGUCAUCCACAUAGCUAGGGGUGGCUGAUGUUAUGUUGAUGCCUACUGGACCAGAUGGUCACAUUACUAGAGUAGUGACUACAUAGAAUUCCAUGUUCUAUUCUUAGUACAGGUCAGUUUCAAUCUCAGUUCUACGCGAGUCCAGAUAGCCACUUAGUGUUUAUCACUAACUCUAUUAGAUAUUAUUUUCUCUGGUGUAUAUGUGUGUUCGGUCACAAGAACUGGAGCUGAUGGUGGGGAGAGAGCUAGUCGGAGUUUUGAUAUCACAUGAUAUAUGUUUUGAUGUAUUUUCAGUACUAGAGUUGCAUCUCCUUUUAUCAUGUUGUGAUUUGGGAUCCGAGAUCCUUGUUGGUCAAUUUUAUCAAAGUAUUUCGGUUCAACUUUUAAUGCUUGUUUUUGCUCAUUUAUUAGUAGUAGAGAGUAGAGGUUGGUUCAGCUUGGAACCCGAUAAGAUUUCUUGAUUGAACCAGUGGUUCGACCAAAACUCUUAGGGUGGGGUUUCAGAGAAAAUGUGAUAGUGAAAUAUACAUUUCCCAAAAAAAUUCAUCUUCCCACCGAUAAGUUUUGGCUAUUUUCGUAUUUUCAUAAUUACCUUUAUUUUAGAUUGUAUGAUUCAAUUCAUUACCAAUUGUCAGAUUAUGUUGUGACAUCAUCAUUUCUAUCAAACGAACAACAUUGGCUCCAUUUAUAGGAUUUUAUCUAUUGCAUAUAAGACUAUUGGAUCCAUUUUGAUUUGUAAAAGUGGGUCCUACUUCCAUCUCAUUUUGUUUUGAAAUUUUGCAUACUUCACUUUGAAAGGCUUCUCAUUAAUGCAAUUCAAAAACAUUUGCAAAAGUGGACUUACAUGAAUAAAAUGAUCAUUUCUUAUAUAUUAUUUUAUUAGCAAAUAAUGAUAUGAGAAGGCCCAAUCCAUUGGGUCUUGAUCAGAAUGGCACAACCUAUUAAAAAUACCUAUUUUGGCAUAACAUAAUUAUAAUUUUACAAAAUAAAAUAUUUAAUUGACUUUUUAAAACUCAAUACAAAAAACUAAAAAAAUAUCAAAGUUCAUCAUAUUCUUCUCCCACCACCAUCCUAUCUCCACUAUCUUCUUAUCAUCCCCAUCAUCCAUUGCUAAACCCAACAAUUACUUUCUCUAAAUCUAUCACUUACCAAAUCCAAAAUCAUAUUCAUUUGUACACACAACCAAGUAUGCAAAUUUUAGAUAUGAUUUGUGUUGGUUUUUUAGAUCUGAUUUUGUCGAUCUCGAAGGUGAAGAUGAUUGACGACGGGGAAGGGGACUCUAAUACCCAAAUAUGCUACUGGAGAAUAAUCCAUCUUUCCAGACUAUUGCAAUUCAUACCGCUCCUUGAAUACUUACAGAGAAAGACGGCGCAUCGAGCUCAAAAGGAGAGGGUAGCGAGCAAUCGAAGGAGAGUAGAAAAAGCCGUUGCAAGCAAAAGAGAAAUCGACCACCAGAUCUCCUAGGAUUCCUCAUCUGAGGAAGCCAUCAAGAGAUUUUUUCCUAUAAGUCAGUUCAGCUACUAAAGCUACAAGUGGUGAUGAUGAAUAAGCUUCCAUAAGUGGUUCGCUGGGUAUCUCUACUUUGACCUCCUUCAUGGGAGCUCCGUCGUCGCCGCUGGCGACCCUAAAAAAGAACAUGCAUUUAAACGCGUUUACACACUAAACUAAAAAGGAGAAUGAAAGACUAUAAUUGGAAUUUCAACAACAAGAGAAAGUUAACUUCUUUUUUCUAAUCCACCGUCGGGAGGAGCAGCAGCAAGCUUCGCCCGUCUUCUUCCCUUUUGGGAUUUUUUUGAAUUAAUUAAGAAUUUUAUUAAUUAGAAGUUUAAAAUUAUAUGAUGUGGAGCCUAUAUUGAAGUCAAGUGGGAGGUACGUCAGGGGUGUUAAGUUUGACUGUUAAGUUGAUGGUCAAAUUUCAAAUAUGUGCCACAAUAAGUAUUUCUAAUAGGUUAUGCCAUUCUGGGUUUAGACCCAAUAGGUUGGGCCUCCUUAGAUCAUUAUUCAUUUUAUUAACUACAUAUAUGUUAUAAAAAUGUAUAAGUGACAAGUGGGUCUCAAAUGAUUAAAAAAUAUAAAUGAAAAAAUGGGCCACAAGUGAGAUUAUCACUUUGACUUGGAACGAGUACAAAUUUGCACUUAAAAUGAUCCUUUCCCAUCAAUAAUAUUCUCAUUUAAAUUUAAAAAUUGCCACAUAGGCUCCAUGUUACUUAACAAGUAGGGAAAAUCUCAGUGAUAAGAUGCUAUAAUAACAAAUAAUCUUGAGGCCAAAUCCAAUAACUGAGCAUGCCUUCUACAUGUCGGACUCCACCAUAUAAACACGGCCCACGUUAUAAUUGAUUCAUUAAAAAAAAGAAACAAUUUGAUGAAUUGAUGAAAGAAGCGAAAGGCAAAAGAUGGAAAUUGUCGUUUCUCUUCCUAAAACUAGGGUUUUGUUUCUCUCACUAAAAUUAGGGUAUCUCUUCGUCAUGAAGACUUCCUACACCCCCAUCGCCAUCAUGCUCAAGCACAAACCUACUCCUAUCAUCAACAAACCCAUCCCACCUACCGAUGUUGUCAUCAAAACAAGACCGACCCUUACUGCACCCAUGGCCUCCCUAUCGUUGAAGGAGAGUCAUGGCUCGGAGGACCUGACCGGAAUGACAUGGCUGACGAUUGGAUACCAGAGCUGCAGCAAUCUGGAAAGCCCCACAAAGAUUCUCCGCCGACAAAGACCAGCAGGUCAACACUAAGGAGAGGCGGUGUUCCUCCGAUCUUCGAGCUACAGGGGAGCGAGACGACUCUACCCCAUACACCAUAGUGACAUCGCCGGUGUGGACAUCCGAUCAUUCCAUUCAAAGCUCAUGAAGAUCGGCUACACUUGUGUUUGGCUUUCUUUAUUUUUGUUUAGUACUCUCUUUUUAGACAUUUGGUUGAUUUUCAGUCGUACGUUGCACUUCAUUUGUUUCCUUCCUUGAGUCGGGGUAUAGUUUUGUUAAUUUUUUUGUUUAUUUCGUUGCAUCUAAAACCGUUGAUGGUCGAAGAGAUUAAAACUGUAAAUAAAAUAUUCAAUUACCUACUUUCCCCUUACAUCUUUUCUAAAAAACAACUCUCAAUUGCAUUUCUCAUGGUCAAUGUUAUAUCACGCCUCCCUCUAUAAAGAAAUUAUAUUUUGUAAAAAAAAAAAGCGAAAGGCAAAAGAUAUCGCGAGACCUAGUUCUAUAUAAACCCAUUCCAUUCGCAGGUUACGAGCGGCCGUCAUCGCUGUCACAGGGCCAGAUAUGGGAAGCGCUAAAGCUGGCAAACCCUCAAAGAAGUCUCUCAGAAACCCUAAUCCGCUUCGCAUUACCCAUAGGAAGAUUACGAAGCACAAACGGCAAGACAUUGCUGUUGAUACAGUUCCCACCGCCCUGAAGUAGAAACACAACCUCAUAUCGGAGAAGAGGAGCCCCUUCCUUCAGCUUCCCAGCAACUCAGCUUUUUCCUCAGCAAGUUCCAGUCAGCUAAUGGUCUUCAAGGUUAGUCUCUACCGCUGGAGCUCCACAAUAUUGUAUCCCAUGACAUCUCUAUUUGGUUGCUGGACAGAGGGAUUAUUAACAAUUUGUGUAUUGUAUUUGCAGAAACAUCCUUUAUUCAGUUAUUUUGAGAGCUGCCUCAGGAUGUUGAGGGCCUAGGCCAGCAUUUGAAGACUGCUUUCGGAAAGUCAUGGAAAGAAGAACGCUGUGAUCGAAAGCUCGUGGAUAGGUAAACUGAACCAGAGAGUCCUGCUGCUCUUUUCAUUUCUACAUCUGCAUUGAGAGCAAUAGAACUUUUAAGGUAUAGAUUCUCUCAGUUCUUGUUAAUGAUCUUUGUUUUGCUCGAUUUAAUCAGGGUUUGGGCUUGAUUCAAUCUUCUUCUUUUAGGGGUGUGCGUUCACUGAGCGUUCACUGACGAAAGAAUGCCAUGCUGCAAAGCUCUUCUCUAAGCACAUGAAGGUUGAAGAACAUGUGAUAUCCUUUCCCUUUUGUCACUUGUUGUUCCUAUUACAUCGUUAAACAAAAUACUAUCUCUUUAUGUUUCGAGGUGUUGUCAUUUGUUUUGGAUAUCAUUCAGUUCCUUUUAUUAUUACUGCUGCUCGAGUUACGAACAUCUGAGGAAAUAGCAAUGCUUAGGAUGUUAUUGUCCACUUCACUGUCUCGAGACACCGACAUUGUCUUUAGUUAUUAUUUAUGGGUCCAACAAGUUAUGACUUGAACCAUGGUCACAUGGAACAAAAUUAAUUUAUAAAUUCGGACUUCUGUUUCAUCAGUGACAUUUUCACUCUUCGUCAUCAUAUACAUUUGGUGUUUGUUUGUUUUUGGUAAAAGGAUUUGAUAUUACCAGUUAUAAAGAUCAAAGGGCAGUAGCAGUGCAGGAUAAGCUUUUUUCACAUCAGUCUGCUUCUAGUUCAGUAUCUUAGUUUCAAUGAUUUAUGGCUGGAAGCAUGGAGCAGUAUGGAAUUUUUGCAAACAAUUGUUGGAUUAGGAAUUUCAUACUUCUUUUCACUGCAUUUUGAUGUUGGGAUAUGAUGAGUUACACGGAUCAAAUGCUCUAGCAGUGCUGAAUAUGUUUUUUGCACGUCAGUCUGAUCCCAACUUACCGUAUUUUUACUGCCCCUACCUUUAAAUGCAUGUCCGAGUUCUAACAAUAGAUGACUUGAGACAUGGAGCCUAUGAAUGGGGGUUCUCUGUUUGAUUUUAUGACAUUUUACAAUAAUUGUCACAAAUUUUUUUGACAUUGGAUAUGAUGAUGAGUUAGAAUCAAAGGCACUAGAGAUGCUGAAUAUGAUUUUUUGCACGUCAGUCUGAUCCCAGCCUUUCGAUUUCUGAUUACUGGAAUUUAAAAUUUUACUUUGUUUUCGUCAUUUUGACAUUGGGAUAUGAUGAUGAGAUGUAGAUCAAAGGCAUUAGCGGUGCUGAAUGUUUAUUUUGCACGUCAGUCUGAUCCCAGCUCACUGUUCCGAGAUUGUGCUGCCUUCUUGCAUUUCCUAGUUAAAAAAAUGUACUCCUUGGACAUGGAUCUAAACGAACUUCAAAAUAUGAAUGAUUAAGAUUUCGUGAUCAGUGUCAUUCAUAGUUUAUGAUCACUAAUUUAAAUCUCGUGGCAUAUCUUGCAGGGUGUUUAUAGCCAAUUAGAUGCCACACUCACUGAAAGCUUAACUUACGAUUUAGGUUCUGGUUGUGUAUCCCCCCCCCUGUCCACCGCCUUUAACCUUGUACUUCUAAGCAAUUGAUUGUAUUUCCUGAAUAAUGGCUACAUAUUUCGUAAUUGUUCAUGCUCUGCUGAUUAUAUUUUUGCACGUCUCUGUUCCUAAUAAAACUGCACACUAUUUUACGAAAAAAGACGUGCACGCUAAUAUCGUACACCAAUGUAAUAUAACACUAUUAACAACAAAAAGUUCUUAGUACGGGUUCAAUGUCAUCAUGCAACAUCCAUGAUGCCGUUCCUUAGUCUCUCUACGUGACUCUGUGUUGCAUUUGGUAAACUAUUUCUUAAACUUCUGGCUCCGUUUACUGCAGGUCACUUUCUUCAAGAAUCGUGUCAAUAUUGCCAGCGGCACACCAAACAGGUUAGUCACCAGUCAUUUCAUCUCGAUAUUGAUGUUACAAUGGGUCGUUUGGAUGAGGUAUUUGAAAGUGGUAUUUUGGCUCAAGUAACUCAAACUAAAGUUAUAACUGAGUUAUUUGGGCCAAAACACUUCGUUUUCCAUCCGAAAUAAAAGUCGUUAUAUUUCAUAACUGUGAUAUUUGAAAUAAUUAUGGAUGUGAUAUUUGAAAUAACUCAAUUUAAAACCAUAACUCAAAAUGAUAGCUAAACGAAUAAUUCUUAUCCCCCAAAUUCUUACAACUGAUCCAAACGAUUAAUGUUUACUUGCUCAUCCUUUUCGUUCUAGCUGAAUAUUUGCAUUUCCGAAAUAAUGCGCCCCACAUGAGUUCGGUAUACAUUGGUGAUUGCUUUUGCAAGUUUUCCGUGCAUGAAUUGUUGUGGUAUUCAUCAGAAAAUUACCAAUAGGAAAUAGUUAAGAGGUCGUAGAAAAUGCAUCGGGAGUGUCAUUUUAUAUUGUAGGGGCAAAAAUUGAUUUUGAUGAAUUUGAACUUUCUUGACUAGAUUCUUGAUAAAAAAAACUAUCUUGACUAGGUUGAAGAAGUUGAUAGAUAUAAAAGCAAUGGGGCUCUCGCGGUUUUAAAGUUAUCGUGCUAGAUGUCCACCAUGAUGUAAAGGGUUAUUCCUUGCUCACACUUCCACAAGGGGGAGAUAUAGAGAGAAUGUCCGGUCUCUUUUCAACACAGCGAGGAGCAUAGUCGAUUUUGUCAUGUGAAGAGUUGCUGUUGUACAAGUGUUAGUUUGUUAUUUUGACAGGACACUUUUUCAAUUAUUCAAAACUUAUAUUCUAGCUAAGCUAAGGGUAAAUAUCCAUUUUGUAAUUUCACUUGUUGCUGCUUCUACCAAGAGACAGCACACAAGGAAUUAUACUCAUCGGCUUCCUGGCCGCAAUUGAGUUAAAUCUUCUUUUCGGCCCCUAGCGUUUAAAAUAAAAUAAAUCUUUCACCGGCUACCUUCAAAAUCCUCUGUUUAUCUUUCCUUUGAUCUUAUCAAAUUUUUAUAGUGACAAAGUUUGUGAAAUUACUUAAUAAAAAAAAGAAAAAAUUAUUAAACAAUUGCUAAUAUUUAGGCCCGACAUUCGAUAUAGCACAUGUUUUUUAUAAUAUUUUUUUUUGCCCAAAUUUCAAAUUAUGUUAAUUCCUUUAAGUUAAAAUUAACGGAUUGGUGACAAAUGCUGACAAGGCAAACAAUGUGUCUGAUGUGGAUGGAUGAAAAGAAGUCAAUCGGAAAUAAAUACACAGUCAACAUACAGUUAAAAAAUUUUAUAACAAAAACCACCCACAUUCCUUAUCCUCUUCGUCGACCAGCCUUUUAUCACCCACCUGUCACCUCCCUUCUAAAUUAAUUUUCAUCAGAUGGGGAGAAAGAGUGGAAGAAGAAGAAGAAGAAAGAAAGAUGGAGCAAGGUGCAUUUGAUUUGAAUCCCGACAAUGUCGACAACAAUCUUGUAUCUAAAUUCUUUGUCGAUUUGAAUUUCGAUGAUGCCAACAACAACCUCAUUCUUGAACUCUCCGUCGAUUUGAAUCCCGACGAUCCCAUCAACAACACCAUUCCUGAACUCUUCGACAAUUUGAAUCCCGACGAUGCUGAUAACAACCUCAUACCUGAAUUCUCCGUUGAUUGAAUCUCAAUGAUGCCAACAACGACUCUCUAUCGUUGUCGAUGAAAUGCCCAAGCUUGUGGAGAGAUGGAUACAGGGAGUAGUAGCAGGUACAUGUCCAAAUAUGGAUGUUGAGAAAUCCUCCUCGGCUGUCGAUUUCGAAUGGUCCCCACGUUUCAAAUUGAUUUUAGUGUUCUUGCUGGGAGUAGGUUUGCACGCGGCUGAGAUUGGGUUUAUCUGUUUGUUGCAAAUGAAUGAAUUGAAUUGGUUGGUUUUUUAUUGGGGGUGGGUUUUGCAAGCAAGUUGAGUUGUUUGAUUGGUUUGAAGUUUUUUUUGUCUUGAUUGGGUUUUGUAAAAAAUGCUAGCAGAAUACUGACAAUGGAGGAGAAGGUGGAGGAAGGAAAAAGAAGGUGGAGGAGAUGAAUGAUUUUUUUGGUAGCUGAGUUAUUAUUAUUUAAUGAAAGGAGGUAAAUAAAAUUUACCUAACUAAGCUGACGUGACCAGUGAUUGUUAUGUGGCGUCGGACAUGGUAUCUUGAUGAUUUUCUUCUUACGGCGUUUCGUGUUUGGUUAACUAUAACGGUCAACGACAAAGUCAACUGAUUUUCGUUAGUGUGAUUUGAAUUUUGUCAGAAAAAAAUGUAUUUCGGAAAACAUGUGCCAGAUCAUUUGUCGGGUUAAAACAUUGCCAAUUGUGUUAGCUAAUUUUUCCUAAAAUAAGUUAGUGACAUUUUAUCAAGUCGAUCUACACUACAGGAAACUAGAUGUUUAACAACAUCAUUUUUUCUUGUUGACGACAACCAUUUCCUGUUGUUAUGUAUCAUAACGGCGGCUUUGAUUGCGCUAUUAAGAUUGCCAAUGCAAAGAGAUCCUACCAGCGAAAUAUUGGCCGCGGUUAAGUGGGGAAGCGUAACAGCGAAUAGCUGGCCGCUGUUAGGUUGCAUCCUAAUAGCGAAAUAUGACCGAUGUUAGACGAAAUUCUAAUAGUGGCAUUGUGUCCGUUGUAAGGAUUUCGCCUAACAGCAACUACAUAUCCUCAUAGUUUUCUUAUUAUUUUAUUUUUUUCGUUUGGCUAUUUUCCAUAUAUAUCCAACUUGUUCAAGUAAUUUUUUCGAUAGGUAGAUAGAAAUACAAAUUUGGGAAACACUUUGCUAAAUAUAAAACUAGUCAUUUUGAUUAAAUAUUUGAUUGUUAGGACACAUACUAAUUCCUUGGCUUAAACUACACCAUCCUUCUAAAGUAACUACUUGAUUCAUAGUUGUUCAUCCAACAUGUACAAUCCACUAAACAUAGACUACUCCUCUUGGUCGUAAUCAAGCUCAUCGUCCCUCUCAUUUGUUUCCAUCAUAGUGCUCGUUCACAUUUGUUUGCAUCAAAUGGCUGCCAUCAUACAUUUGGAUUUAGAACAUCUGCCUCAUCUCCUCCAAAUCAUGAGAUAAGCCAACUUGAGAGUUGGCAAGAUGAGCUAUACACCUACAAUACACCAAAUAAAAGUUAGUUUUUUUAUCCAAAAAAAUUUGCAUGACCAAUUCGAAUUCACGGUUUAACUUAUACUCUUUGAUCUACAAAAUGAACAAACGAUACUAGAUUUGGAAGGACAAGUUUCGACAGCUACAAUGAAUCAAGGAAACCUUUUACAUCUACAUUAUCAAAACAUAAUUGCAGAAUUAAAAGUAUAAACCAUGAGUAAGGUUGAAUGAUAAAAUUUUCACUAUUUAGAGGUGUCGGUUAAAAUGUGCAAAUUGGAUAAUAAAUUUGCAUGGGAAGGAUGAUUAUGUAGAUUACGUAAUAAACUAACAAAUACAUAUAUACUUAUGAUUUGAAUGGGACUUGUAAGUUAAAAUUGGAGGCGCCCCUCUUAAUUUGUACCUAUUGUAUGUUCACUAACCACCCAUAAUAAAAACAAGCAAGAAAAAUUGGAUUUGGUGGAUCACUCGAUGAAGAAACAAGAUUCGAAACUAGCCCUCAUAACUUGAUUAGGUGAAGUUUCUACCUAUAACAGUCCAACUUAGUGGUAGAAUUAAUUUAGGAUUAAUGCUGAAAAAUACAAAUACUUAUUCAUUUUGCUUUCACUCUAAAUCCUAAAUGGCGCACCACUGUUCCUGACUUCUCUUUUUUGUUCUUCGAACGUAUACGAUAUGCCCUCGCCAUAGCAUCCUCCUUGCUAACCCCAUGUUAGUAUUUGGUUCCUUCAUAAACUGUUUGACUUCAACCUAUAUUCAAUCUCAAAAUCUUAAAUAUAUUAGAAUUGCAUCUUAUCAACAAAAGGUCAAAACACAAUAAAAUUAUAUGCAACUUACAUAAAAGUCUCAAGUAACAUAUGUUUCAUCUUCUCUUUCAUAACACUUGAAAAAGAACUCAGAUCUUCUUACUUCUUUUCCUUUCGCUUUCUUCUACAUUAUACGUUCUACAAUCAAUACAAAUUAACUUCUCAUGACUUUUGGAACAUAAUAUAAAGACGAUUGAUGAGAUGCUUACUUACCAUCUCUUCACGAAUUAUAUUGAAAGGUUUUGACCCUUUCGUAUGAUAGAUGUCUUGAUUAGAACGAUACCUUGUUUCUUUGCAGAUGCAGUCUAUAAAACUGCUAGUAAUUGACAAAUGACAAUAAUAAAUAUCAUUAUAUCAAAUAUAAGUACAAAUGUAAAACUUACUAGAGUUGGCUUCCCCUCCUAUAUCUGCAAAACAUAUCCCACUCACGUUCAUCAAUAUUUGGUGGUUUCCUGUCUAAGUUGAGCUGAAGACCUUGAGUAGCAUCGAUAUUUGGUGGUUUCCUAUCACGUUCAUCGAUACUAAUCAAUUUUCUUUGGAUAUGACUAAUGUAAUGAAGAAGAUAGAAGAGAUUAAAUCUAAAACCCUUAUGAUUACCCUGCAUUCAUAAAGACUGCAAUGCAAUAUGUACAGAGAGGCGUGGACACAUAGCAAAGUCCUUACAAUUUUGACAAUUACCAUCCAAUACAAUUUUGUAAGCUACAGCUAACAUUCAUGAGCUAAUAAGUUUUGUCAGGUCGGUUACGAAAGAAAACACACUUAACUUCAUAAACAAUAAUAAAUUAUGAAAACCCCCAAAUCAAAGUUAGGGCUCAUCUAAAUCAUUAACAAAUCAUACAAACUGAUUUCAAUCUCAAAAUUAAACUUAGACCCAGCACUAUAAAUAAGAUGUCUAACCUAAAGCUAGAACAAAACACUUCCAAUUCACUAAACGGAAAACAUUUCAAAGAUCUAGAUUUUACUAACCUUUCAAUUUUCUUGCUAACACAAGAUGACUGAUUGAGAUGAUGGACAGGAACCAAAAUGAGCCGCAGCUGGAAGGCCGGAGCAAGCGACGCCGGCACGAAGAAGAAAAACGCCAGCGAACGGCCGUUGGUGAAGAUACUAUCUGGCUGUGUCCUUUGUUCAAUUUGGGGAAAGUUGGGUUUUUACGUGGUGUUGGGGGGUUAUAUGUAUUUGGAGUUUCGUUUAUAUUAAUAUAAUGAAGAAUUAAGUCUCAUUUUGUUUGGGGCUUUAAAUUAAUAACCCAACGUCGGCUUGAUUCUCUACAUAGCCGCUGAUAGGAUUACUCUUAGCAGCUGCCAUCUAAAUAAGAGCCACUGUUAAGUUGUUGUAUUCCAUCAUAUUUUUUAAUUAUUAUCCUAACAUCGGCCAAUAUUAAUCAGGGCCGAUGUUAGGUAGUAAUAACGUAUCAGUAGCCUUCCAUUUAUUGUUAGGAUAUUGACCUAACAUUGAGACCAUGUCCGUUGUUAAAUUUUGUAUGUUAAAAUAUCCUAACUGCAGGUCUAUGUGGCUACAGUUAAAUUGGCAAUAUUAGGUAGUCAGUUUCUUGUAAUGCUACCUUGUUUAUCAUAGAAAAUUUGUUAUGACAAACGUGAUUGUUGUUGUUACAUAACAACACUCUAAUUUUCCAUCUAUUUUUAAUUUUAAAAAUUUGACAGUCUUAAUUUGUUGAAUAUUUUUAAUCUUUUUUACAUUUUUAUCUCUCAUAAAUAUGUCCUAAUUUUUAGUUAAAGAAUCCUCAUUCAAUUUCUAUUUCUAUUUCUAUUUUUUUACCUAUAUUUAAUUAAGUUAAUAACUUAAUAUUUCCUUAAUUGCUUUUUACAGGUUGUCAACGGAGUUCUGGUACUCCCAACAAGUGAGAAGAACGAUCAGAUUAGUAACAGAGCACAAACAAAGGUACAAAAUAAAUUACCAUAUCACAGUCUCAGGUAUAUAACUCCAUACAAUAGCACAUUCAUGGGUACAUAACUAGACAAAAAUUAAUCAAAAAUUGAUACUUCAAUACACGAGGUAUAAAAUGCAGUACCAUAUCACAAACCCCUUUUUUUUUUUUUUUUUUUUUUUUUUUUUUUUUUUUUUUUUUUUUUUUUUUUUUUUUUUUUUUUUUUUUUUUUUUUUUUUUUUUUUUUUUUUUUUUUUUUUUUUUUUUUUUUUUUUUUUUUUUUUUUUUUUUUUUUUUUUUUUUUUUUUUUUUUUUUUUUUUUUUUUUUUUUUUUUUUUUUAUUUUUUUUCUUUUUUUUUUAUUGUCUGUUUUUUUCUUUUAUCCUGUUUUUCUUCCUUUUCAAGAUCUUGAAAAGAGAGAGAAAAUGAGAGAGAGAGAAUGAGAAAGAGAAAACGAGGGAAAGAGAAUGAGAGCAAGAGAGAGAGAGAGGAGGAGAAAUUUUUGGAGUUUUUUUAUUUUUAGUGGCUUUGAUAUUGAAAAUACUAUAUAAAGAAUUUUAGAUGAAAUCAGUCAGUUGAUACAAUUAUUGUUGUUAUGUGCUAUUAUCGUAUGAUAAGCGGGUGGGGCUUUUCUUGUUUUCGUAAACAUCAAGAUUUUAUUGGUUGGGUCUAUGAUUCCAGCCUACAUGAUACUCAAAAGGGCCCUGGUUCAUCUGGAAAUGAAAAGUGCUUUAUGAACGUUUGGAUUGGUGCUUCCUUGACUCGGUUUGGUAACUUCAAUUUCUACCCACCUAUAUCGUGUUAAGUCGGAUCACCGACCUAUUUUCAUGGUUGCGACCAAGCUCAAGAAGUCAAAUCUUCCUCAUACCUUUCGCUUUAUGGCUUCAUGGUUGUCACAUGUUGAGUUUAAGCCUUUUUUUGUCGGAAUGGAAUCGGUCUUUUACCUUUAUUCAUCAGAUGUCCAUUCGAGCUACCAAACUGAAAAAAUGAAAUAAGGAAAUUUUUGGCAACAUCCAAACGAAUAGAAGGAGCUUAUCUUUAAACUUGCUGAUGUUUAAGCUCUCGCAGCUCCUCUACUCAUUCAAGACACCACAAUGGACAUUGCAAGUGACCGGAAUACUCAUUUUUUUCACGUAUCCACCUUCCGUAGGCGUGCUCGGAACCACAUUAUUAAGUGAAGGAUGACUGUGGGGUGUGUAUUCAUUAGGUUUGGGAGUCGGUUAAUUUGGUUAAUAACCAUCGGUUAAUGGUCGGGAAGCGCUUUGAUGAUUGAAAUUAAUUAACCAAAUUAACCGACCGAGCAAAAGCCACGGUUAAUCUUACCGACCGAUAACCGACCAAUCAGUUAAAUGAUCGAUUAUUAACAGACUGACUCUCGGUUAACCGUUGUAACCGGCUCUGACCAAUUUAACUCUCUUCUCAUAUUGCAACAAGAUUCUAGGCUCUGGCUCUAGAUCCGUCGUCGAUUCAAGCCUUGGAGACCAUAGCUUCUCUUCUGGAAACAAUCCGGUGCUCUACAACUUGAUCCUUCGGGACUGGAAGCUUUCCGAGACGGCGUUGUUGCGGAUCAGUAAGGAGAGGAGGAAGCUUCAAGCCUAUGGUGUUGCAGAUCGAAGAAUUGAGAGAGUGGAGGAGGAGAGGAUUGGCCGUGGCGACGAAGGAAGCAUGUGGUGUUGCAGAUCGAAGAAUCGAGAGAGUGGAGGAGGAGAGGAGCGCUUGCGGUGACUCGUCGUGGUCGUCGUCGUGACUGCCGGCGAGAUGCUGAAAUUGAAUCGCUUGGAUUGAUAGAGUUGUCGAGAUGGAUUGAUGGAGUUGUCGAGAUGGAUUGAUGGAGAUGGCUCGGAGUUAACCUAAUUUCAGAAUGAGAGGUUGUGAUGGAGUGGGAGGCUGGGAGGGGAGGGAGCGAUUCUGCGAUUGUGGUGAGCAAAGCUUGAUUUCCUAAUUGGGGACCUUGGUUUUUUUAAUUACCGGUUAACGUUGGUUAACUCGAGUUAACCAACGAUUUUACCCUGCUCCAACAAGUACUCCCAACUGUUCCCCGACCGACCCCUACCUCGGUUAAACCGACACUCUAACCGAGUCGAUCAGUUCAUCUGUUUAACCUAUUAACCGAGACUGAUGGCCCACCCUUAGUAUUCAUCCAGCUUGUUGCUGCAAUUAGUGUCGUAUUGAUAUGGUUGAGAGAGGAUAAAAUAUGCUUGAUUUCAAGUUCUCCAACUUGAAAGGUUUAGCUGUUAAAAAUGUAGAGGUCAUGACUGAGUACUGAUUUCCAGCAAGGAGAAGUUGGAUAUUUGCUUGCGAUAAAAAAGAAUUUGGACAGUCUAUCUUAGGCACAAAAUCUAACGGAUGAGAUGGCAACUUUACUUCAGGGGCCUAUUGGUCAUUUUAAAAUUUUCUUGUUUUUCAGUUUAUUUUUCCAUUCUGUUUAAUAUUGGUUCAAGUAAAAUGAUUUCUUGUAAAUUGGGUCUAUUGAGUAACGUGGGUGGGUAGACUUUAUUGCUCCCAUCGAGCUUGACGUGAUAUUUUCUUCUUCGUUUCUUUAACAUGCAUAAAUUGUAUAUAAUACGAAAGGUUGGAAAUAUAUGUGAAGCUCGAGGUUUAUUAUAUAUGUUUCGAGGUUUAUUAUAUAUGUUGAACCUUUUUGCCAAUUGGUUAUUUUUAUCAUGUAGUGCCUUAUCAAGUAAAGGGAAUGGUUGUUUUUAUCUACUGUCACUAGCCAACUUUCUUUCUCAUGUGAUCAAUUAUUUGAUCACGCAUGAAUGACUACAGUACACAAAAGAUAGAAAUAUUAUAAAAACAAAAAACAAAUAUUAAAAAAAAAUACCUAAAAAGCAGGUACAUAACAACAAAAACAAUAACCGUAAAUAUCAAGUACAUGAAAGCGGAUGCUCAAAAUAAGCACGCACACAUUAAAAACUUUGGUACAUACAAGGCAAGAAAAUCGAGAACAUAUUGGAACUCGAGUACCGGAAUUGGUACGGUAUUAAGUACAACGUGAAGAAAUAUCAAGUACAUUAAAAAGCGAGUAUAUAACAAUAGAAAUAAGUACACGAAAACAACUCAGAGAAAUGAUAAUUUGAUUGCCAAAAUUGAGUAUGAUAAAGUAAAAUGCAAGCACGUAGUACAUGAAACAAAUAUGAGUAAGAGUACAUAAAUUUUUUAGUACAAUACAAGACAAAAACUCAAAUACAUAUAAAAACUGGACACUAAAAAAAAUAAUUAAUUAUUCACAAUUUUAAAUAAUAAUAGUCACGAUUUUUAUCAUGAUUAACAGAAGCUAGUCACGAAAAUAAAUCCGUAACUAACCUAACCGAUGCUAGAUGAACUUGUCACGAAUCUGAAUAACCUGUAACUAAGUUGUCACCGAAAUUUUCCGUGACCAACUCAUCACGGAAGAAACCGUGAACAUAUGUGUUUUUGUUUUUGUUUUUUAAAUUAGUGGCACGGAGCCAUAUGCUGUGAUAAUUGAUUUAUUAAUAAAUUAAUCCCACAUCUCCGUGGCUACUAUAUCACCAGAAUUUCCAGAUUCCGGCAACCACAAUUUCCAGAAUCCGGCAAUAAGAUAGAGUUGAUAAUUGCUUUUUUAUUAGAGUAAAAUGUUCUACAUCUAUACAUUAUGAUACCCAUAUCAAAAUUCCAGAAUCCCAAAAUUGAACAUAACGUCAACGAAAGGCACCAUGCAACAAUGGUGACACUAAGGGUUACAACAACCAGCAAAACCGAAACACAGACUGGAAAUGCUACCAAGAGAAGGAUGAGACUAGAUGAUGAGAUUGAGAUUGAGAGAAGAAAAAUGAUAGUAAGAAAUUUUGUUUUCGAGAGAGAUCAAAUGAAGAUGAGAUCUACUUCUAAUUUAAUAUAAUGGAAAUGGAGAUAUGGUUGUUUAAUGGCAAAGAGAGAAGAAAGGAAUAGCCCAUUAAACGAGGAUAGAGUCUGCAUCAUUUCUUUUUUCGACCUUUUCCCACUAAAAUGCUAAUUUUAAAAUUAUAAAUAAAAGUUGGUCACGGUUCCAACAUUUACCGUGAGUAGUUGGUCGCGGUAUUCAACAAUCCAUGACUAGUUAUGGAUUUUUUUUUAUCUAUAAGUAGUUAGUCAUGGUUUUUAAAGCCGUGAUUAAUAAAUCGUGAUUAAUCGUUGAUUUUUUUUGUAGUGCGAGUAUGAGUAUUGAGUAAAACGUCAUGUACAAAAACAAGUACAUCAAAAGCGAGUACAUAAUUAUCAAAACAAGUACUAAAACGAGAGGAAAAGUACAUAAAAAGCGAGUAUAUAAUAAUAGAAACAAGUGCAGUAAAAAUCAAGUGCAUGAAAGGAAAACGAAACUCAAACUAAACACUAAUACAAAAAAAACUUUAGUACGCAAAUAAGUAAAUACAAGAAAAUUAACAUACACAAACGAAUACAUAAGAGUAUAGUGUUUAAACAAAGCGAUUAUACGGAUCAAUACGAUGUUGAGUACAAAACAACAACUUGAGGCUUUAUCCCUCAUUUUUAGAUGAUUUUGUACUAAGUUCUUAUAUGUAUUAGUUUUUAUUAAUGUAAUCCCUCGUGUACUUUGUCUUUGGAUUUAUUUUUAUGCCAUAUCUAUUUAUUUACGCAUUUGUGUAUACUUAUAUUUUUAGAACUUUAUACUCAAAUCAAUUAAUCAAACAAUAAAACUAUUUUCUCUUUACACGAACCAACAUAAUAACCCAUCACCCCAUACAGGGUUGUGAAGGAGGUGCAGUGACCAGAAUUUUCUAGUUGUUGCUUUUCUAUAGUUUGAUAAGGGUAAGCAUCUUGUUCUAGAAUAUAUGUUGUUAGGUUAUAACAAUGCAUCUAGUUGAGCAUGAUUCUUUGGUCAAGUGUUACUGGGAUUCUUUUUGUUCCACAUCAAUGCUCGGAGGUCGAAGAGGCAACGAGGGUGACGAAGAAAUCGGCAUCACCACGUGAGAGAAGAUGAAGAAGAGGUCAGAGAGUGGAGCCGGUGGAAAAGAUAUACUAGAAGAGGUACUUAAAGUUACUUGUACGACAAAACUGCCCUUAUUCAAUUGGACAACCCCUAGAUUAAAAUUUAAAAAUGAACGGACGCGAUUCGUUUGCGGCCAGCAAACACAUAAUAUCAUGGCUGCCUAUCCGGACUCGUCAUAACUGGCGUCAACAUUACGUAGUGUUGUCAAAAAUUAAAAAGGGGAAUAUAUAAUAAUAAUAAUAACAGACGUAAUCUUGUGUAUAUAAUGAUAUUAAAACGUUUUUCAAUCGACAAAGCCAAGUCUGCGGGAGGAACAGCUAAUGGACGAACAGCCUAAGCAUAAGCCGCCUUCUUCGUAUUCUUCAGAUUCUCUGAAUCUCUACCCUUUUUUUUUGUUACGCGGAUUCCCUUCCCUCGUCUGCAAACAAAAAGCUCUUCGUUGACUUUUUAGCAGGCUUUUUUAAAAAACCUUAAUUGAAAAAAUUUGUACAUGGUUGUUGCCUUUGUUGGCGUCAGCAUGACCCAAUGCUGUUGUCAUGUUCAUGAUUGCUCCAACUCACCUGGCUGCGCAUCUGCCUUCUGACCUGACCUGCCCUCCUCCUUUUUUUUAAAUUAUGUUUCCCCAAAAUUAAAUUUAAAUCGUUACAAAAUUGGUCUCUCCUUCUCCUAUAUAUAACGUGGAAGAGCUCCUGCCAAAAAAGUCAUUCAAACUCAAAGCAGAUAAAUUAUCAAAAUAAAAAAGAAAACCCCAGUGCUCUGCCUGCCGUUAAGAAAUUAGUUUAUUGGGUUUGUUGUGUUUAUGAAAGCUGUGUUCCAGAGACUGAUAUCGUCAAGCACCCAGAUUGGCUGUAGGAAGAAAGUUGCAUCUUUUCCAUUAAUCAGAAGCGCUAAUAUGUCUGAAUCCUCUGCCUUUGAUUCUCCGAGAUUGGUGACCAAGAAGGUCCUUGCUAAGCUUCAGCGUGAAGGGGAUGGUGCUUCUGUCAGGAGAAGCAUUGGAAGGUAUAAUAUAAUAUAUCAUGGAUGGAUGGAUGGAUAUACAAUUUUCUUCUUGUCAAAAUUGAAUUAACUGUUUUCGUUUCUGUGGUGAAAUUGAAUGAUUGAAUGUUGAAUUAUUUUGGUUCAGGAGUGAGCUCAGGUCUCUGGACCCUUUCCUCAUGUUGGAUGAGUUUUCAGGUCUGCUUUGCUUAAUUACUUGAAACCAAAUUCCUUGAUAUUUUCUAGAAUUAGGAUGAUGAUGGAUGAUGGAUGGUAUUUAAUUUGUUGUUGCAAAUUGCAAUGCAUGAAGUCUCAGCUCCUGCUGGAUUUCCUGAUCAUCCACACAGAGGUUUUGAGACUGUUACAUACAUGCUGGAGGUACAGACAGUACUGGAGUUAAUUAUUUAUUAUGAAUUGAAGGCUGUUUUUUGUCCUUGGUAGUCUAUUUAUUGAUGUCUGUGAAAUUCGUGGGUGGCACUGGCAGGGAUCAUUCACUCAUCAAGAUUUUUCUGGGCAUAGAGGGACUAUUCAUGCCGGGGAUGUUCAAGUAAAAUAAUUCACUCAAUUACAAUACUACGACGUUUACUUAAUUAGCUAGCUUUACUUGAUCAAAGUCAAAAACUCUUUCUUUUUUUAAAGUAAACAACAACAACAACUUGUGUGUUUUCCUGUUGGGCAGUGGAUGACAGCAGGUAGAGGGAUAGUCCAUUCAGAAAUGCCUGCAGGAGAAGGAGUCCAGAGAGGCCUUCAGCUUUGGAUAAACCUCUCUUCUCAACAUAAAAUGUAUGUUUUUAUUUCCUUUUUUGUUUGUACUUUCCAACUUCACCAUUCCAACAGUUUGUAAUAUGGAACCAACAGGAUUGAGCCAAGGUAUCAGGAACUUCUGAGGCAGGACAUCAAAAGAGCAGAGAAAGACGGGGUUGAAGUCCGAAUCAUAGCAGGGGAAUCAAUGGAAAUCGAGUCUCCAGUUUAUACAAGGACCCCAACAAUGUACCUUGAUUUCACACUGCAACCAAGGUCCCAAAUGCACCAGCCCAUUCCAGAAUUAUGGAACGCAUUCAUUUACGUCAUUGAAGGUGAGGGAGUGUUUGGGAUCCCAAACUCCUCACCAGUUGAAGCACAUCAUACACUCGUUCUAGGCCCUGGUGAAGGAAUGAGCGCCUGGAACAACUCCUCUUCCAAACCCUUGAGGUUUGUCUUGAUUGCAGGCCAGCCACUUAACCAACCAGUGGUGCAGCAUGGUCCUUUUGUCAUGAACACAGAAUCUGAAAUCCACCAAGCAAUUGAAGAUUACCACUACUCCAAAAAUGGGUUUGAAAUGGCGCAGUAUUGGAGUUCCCAAUAGGGAACAAGUAAGUGCUUGGAUCACUCAAAACCAAAUCUCCACAUUCCCUCUCAACUUUGAAGAAGAAAAGAGUAAAGAAUAAAAAUACACAUCCACAAACACUAAAGGCCACACGCAUAUGUGAGUGAUACUCAUUUGUGUUCCAUCAUGUAUUAAUUUAGCUUUUAUCCUCUUCCAACCUUUUACUAUUCCAAAUCAAAAGGUUGAUUAUUGCAUUGUCACACAAAACAAUGAUAAUAAAAAUACUCAAUUCAUAUAAUCCUUAGAAUUAAUUCUUUUCAUAACUAUAGUAGAUGUUUGAACAAGUGAGAACAAAAUAUAAGCUUAAUCUUAAUAGUAAUAUCAACGGAUAAUAGCACUGUGUGUCACUUAAUUAUUACCCAUGUCGCACAUAAACUACUUAACUUUCUACAUUGCACAUAAAGCCACUUAACUUUGCUUAUGCUUGCAACAUCCAAAUUUUCAUUCAAUUUAUGGAUAGACUGAUCGAAUUGAUGAGUUCUUAUUCGAGAUCUUCUGUAUGAAUAACCUCCAACACAUUAAAGAGAACAAUAAUUUAUAAGAACUGACAGAAUAACUUAUUACUUGUUUACAGAAAAGAAUGAUAAAAUAAAAAGGCAAGAAUAGAUUAUAAUCAUGCCUUGGACACUGCUUUCGAAAAAAUAUUUCCCGAAUUUAGAACACCAAUACAACUAAAGGUUAAUCACAAUAUUCACUCAAACUCUAGUGUAGGGCUUGAAUGUUGGAACUUGGAAACUUAUGCUAUUUUGAUUCCGAUUUUGAGAGUGAAAACAAAGUUUUCUGCCCAUAUUAAUCAACUAGGAUUUCCCUUUUUAAAGAGAACGCAUCCACUAACCAACAUCAAAUCCAGAUUCUCCUUUCUGAUGAUCAUCAAUGAUAAGCAGAUAUGGGGAAGGUGGAGUUGAGCUCCCGAUUUCUAGGAAGCCAACCAAAUACUUCUGUUAAGCAUAAGUCUUGAGUAUAUGCGGUAUGUAACUGAUCAUUACUGUUACUUCAAGUGGUUAGAUAAUGGUUACAUCAUCUUGCUGUUGUCCGUUGAUGACAUGUUGAUAGCAAGUUCUAUUGUAAAAGAAGUAAACAAGUUGAAGAAACAGUUAUCUAACAGUUUACUAUUAAGAAUAUAGGAGACGCUAAACAGAUUUUGAGUAUGUGCAUUGAUCAUGAUAGGCAAGUAGGAAAGUUUUAUCUUUCGCAAGUUGAAUAUAUCAAGAAAGUCUUGAAGAGGUUCAAAAUGCAGGAUGCAAAACUAGUAAAGAUUCCUUUGGGUGGCUAUUUCAAGCUAUUUGAGAAGGAUAUGCCUAAUAAUGAUCCAGAACGUGCCCAAAUGCACGAAACACCAUACAUUUUUGUAAUUGAUAGCUUGAUGUAUGGAAUGGUGUGCACAAUACCAGAAAUUGCACAUGUAGUGGGAGUUGUCAAUAGAUUCAUGGGAAAUCGGGGGGAAGCGAUUAAGUACUCCUGAGAUAGUUGAAGAUUACUACUAAAAGGGUCUUGGGCUUUGAGGGCAAAGUAAUGUAGUUAGAAGGAUUUGUCAUCAAGUGACCUUGAUAGAAGAAGAUGUACAACAUGGUAUAUUUUUACUCUUUGAGGUACCAUGGUUUCUUGGGCUUUUAAGUUGCACUGUCUAACACUCAAGCUAAAUAUGUUGCGGUAACGAAGGCCAGCAAAGAGAUGGUAUGGUUUUAGAAUUUCUUUGGUGAAUUGGGGAAGAAGAAAGAGGAUAGCAUAUUGUACAUUAGUCUUAUACACUUGCAAAAAAUUCAGCAUUUCAUUCAAAAUCGAAGCUCAUAUUGAGUUGAUGUAUCACUUUAUGGGUUGAUCUCUUGGAAAGGAAGAUCUUACGGCUUAUGAAGAUUCUAGGAAGUGAGAAUCCUAUGGAUAUGCCGACUAAGGUUGUAAAGUUGGAGAAGUUGACACUGUGUAUGACUUUAACUGGUUUUGUAACUGAAGUUGAAGGUCAGAUGCUGCUUGUAGUAGGAAGACGUUGAACAUGGAGAACCAAUGAGAGGAGUAUGUCUUCAGGUGGGAGAUUGUUGGGUUAUGGUGCCUAAGAAACUGAAGGCUUGGUCCAGUUAGUUUGUUUAGUUAGAUAAAAAUUAAGAUUAAUCUUGUCUAUUCUAUAUAGGAUUAGAAUUAAUAUGGUAGCUCCCUAUAAAUAAUCUAUAUUCAUAUCAUUGUAAUCUGUAUCACAACAAUAGUAGUCGAAAUCCUAACUUGGUUUGUAAAAAAAGAAAUUCUAGCGUGGUAGCGCCCUAGACAUACUCUUCUCGUGAAGAGGAACUAGGUUCUUAAUUUUUCAGUUUAUGAUUGCGUUUCAUUUUUUACAGGAACGACCAGAUCCAGCUCAGAAACUUCCUCAAGAUGGCGACGUUGAAGAAGCUCUGUCUCGCUAACGCCUAACAAUGGCUUCUCUAGACUGAUUCAGACUGUCCUCACCGCUGGAAAAGGAGAUUAGAUAGAAAUCCAUCUUUUAUUCCUCUUCAUUGUUUUUAUGACAAUUUCUUCUUUUCUUUUAUAAUAGAGAACUAUUUAUCACUUUUGUUGGACAUUUCUUGUUUGUUUCCCUCAAGAACUAAUAAUUUUGGUCAAUGGGUGACCACUGAUGAUGUUGAUUCUAUAAGCUUUAGUAUUUAGUCAAAUUCUUGAGUUUUUUUCAACUAGAAAAAAAAAGAAGAGAGGUUACAGUUUCAAUUAUUAAGUUUGAAGAAUUAAAGAAAAAAAACUAGACUACAGAUAUGAAAAGGUAAUUCUGAUAAUUUUUAUUGAUGAAUUUUUUUUUUGUAAUGAGUAAGAUAAUUUUUUAGGUUUUAUAAAUGGGUUUUUGGUUAAAAAUCUCAUUUAGAUAGAGUUUUUGAUGGGUAAUUAUGAAAUUUGACAUAAAGGGUACAUGAUUAAAAAGGUGGGAAAGGAAGAUGCGAAAAGAAGGUAAGAAGGAAUCAAUUCAUGGCAAAAAAGAAAAAUAAAUAAGAGGGAAGAAAGAAGACAUAUAUUGAUGGGAGGCGGAGGUGGGAUAGGGAGGUGAGAGAAAGAUGUAACAACAAAGAAGGGUUUAGCGAAAGGUGNNNNNNNNNNNNNNNNNNNNNNNNNNNNNNNNNNNNNNNNNNNNNNNNNNNNNNNNNNNNNNNNNNNNNNNNNNNNNNNNNNNNNNNNNNNNNNNNNNNNNNNNNNNNNNNNNNNNNNNNNNNNNNNNNNNNNNNNNNNNNNNNNNNNNNNNNNNNNNNNNNNNNNNNNNNNNNNNNNNNNNNNNNNNNNNNNNNNNNNNNNNNNNNNNNNNNNNNNNNNNNNNNNNNNNNNNNNNNNNNNNNNNNNNNNNNNNNNNNNNNNNNNNNNNNNNNNNNNNNNNNNNNNNNNNNNNNNNNNNNNNNNNNNNNNNNNNNNNNNNNNNNNNNNNNNNNNNNNNNNNNNNNNNNNNNNNNNNNNNNNNNNNNNNNNNNNNNNNNNNNNNNNNNNNNNNNNNNNNNNNNNNNNNNNNNNNNNNNNNNNNNNNNNNNNNNNNNNNNNNNNNNNNNNNNNNNNNNNNNNNNNNNNNNNNNNNNNNNNNNNNNNNNNNNNNNNNNNNNNNNNNNNNNNNNNNNNNNNNNNNNNNNNNNNNNNNNNNNNNNNNNNNNNNNNNNNNNNNNNNNNNNNNNNNNNNNNNNNNNNNNNNNNNNNNNNNNNNNNNNNNNNNNNNNNNNNNNNNNNNNNNNNNNNNNNNNNNNNNNNNNNNNNNNNNNNNNNNNNNNNNNNNNNNNNNNNNNNNNNNNNNNNNNNNNNNNNNNNNNNNNNNNNNNNNNNNNNNNNNNNNNNNNNNNNNNNNNNNNNNNNNNNNNNNNNNNNNNNNNNNNNNNNNNNNNNNNNNNNNNNNNNNNNNNNNNNNNNNNNNNNNNNNNNNNAUGGGUUUGUGGUUAAAAAUCUCAUUUAGAUAGAGUUUUUGAUGGGUAAUUAUGAAAUUUGACAUAAAGGGUACAUGAUUAAAAAGGUGGGAAAGGAAGAUGCGAAAAGAAGGUAAGAAGGAAUCAAUUCAUGGCAAAAAAGAAAAAUAAAUAAGAGGGAAGAAAGAAGACAUAUAUUGAUGGGAGGCGGAGGUGGGAUAGGGAGGUGAGAGAAAGAUGUAACAACAAAGAAGGGUUUAGCGAAAGGUGAUAUAAACAAAAUUAAUUUUGUAAGAAAAUAUUUUUUUUAAUGCCAUGUCAACUAGUUUGUAACUUUUAGUGUCCAUGUCAACAAACAAAAUUUUAUAAAGUUACCAAAAUUCAAAAUUUGUGUUACGAAAAGUAUUUCUAAUAGAUUGUGCCAUUUUCGGUAAAGGCUUAAUAGGUUGUGCAUUUAAGAAAAAAAAUAUUAUUGUGUUUCUACAAUUAACAUCAAUUAUCACCAAACCAUUAAAUACUAAAAACCAAUUAAGAUAUAGUCAUGUUACAAAAAAUGACUCUUGUUAUGAUUUUUUUGUUUAUGCAAUGAUAGGAUGAGAUUAAAAGGUUAAUUUCUUUUUCGACAAAACUUGUAAAAUAUUAUUAAACUCAAUUAGAUAUAAUAUCAUCUACAGUUGGUCAAUCAAAAAAAUUGAGGGUCUAUCCACCGAAACAAUCGUGGAGUUCCAAUGAGUCUGAUUAUACGCCAUAACAUGGGUAAGCUUGUUAACUUAUCUCCGGCCAUGACGCCAAUUACCACAAUCAAACUUUGCCAAAAGGCAACGAAUUAUGGACUAAAAUCCAUGUUCGGUAUGAUGAUCUUCCACAUGAUGCAAAGUCUCAACCAUGAUCAAGCUAUCACUUUCAAGAACCACAUUAGGAUACCUAUGUUGCAAGGCCAAUUGUUAGCAAAAUCUUGCCUCGACCGCCUCAGUUAAAGUAGGCUCAUAGCAACCCUACAAUUUCAACAUAUCCGCCAUUAAGUAAUGCCGAACGCCAUCCCAGAUAACCACCCCAAUACCCAUUCUGGAUCCUGUAAUGAUAGUUGCGUUUAAGGUAGUGAAACUGGUGAGUCAACAUGGGAUCGAAAAGGGACCUAGAAUCGUAAUCGUAAAAUCAAAUCGCAAAAUCAUAAAAUUUCACGGUUCUUCAAUAAUACUAAAUAUUCAGAAAUUCACCUUAGCAUAAAGACGUAAGUUCAUUAUCCAAUCUAAAAUUAAAAAUAAAAUCUCAAAUUCACCUUAAUAGGUUCUUCAGUUGCACUACUUUGAGCUGAUUUUCGAGUCUAGGAGACCGGAGACAAAAUCUGUGAACAAAAUUGUACAAUCUUACAACAAAAAACAAAAUACCUUCGAACAAAGAACCUAAACACCAAAAAUCCAAAACUAAUCUAACAAAAACAGAAUUAGAGAAAGGAAUGGGAUGAUGAGCAAAAUCAUGGAAUGGGAUGAUGAAGAAUCAUGGAAUCAAGGAAACAGAGAUACCUUCGAGCCGUAGGAGUGGCUGGAGCGAUGGGGACGACCAAAGAGGCUAUGACGAGGACCAUUGACUCCUGGUUCUGGUCUUCUAGACUUCUGGGGGACGACCGACGGGGGAGACGACAAGAGAGAAGACUGAGGAUCGAGCAGAGAUCGAACGAGCAAUCGACGACUUGCACAAUUUUUUUCAGAAGAUAAAUGAAUUUAAGGUUCGAUUUUUUGCCCAAAAUUGAACUCGGAUUUCCGUUUCGGUUCGAACCGAAGCAUAAAAACCAGCGGUCAGCACAGAGUAGUGGACUCGUGAAUCGUUGUAAACUCGUUCGAUUCCACGAUUUUCACGAUUUUGCGAGCGAUUUCAUGCCAUUAUAAGCCAUUUUGAUUGCGCGUGAAAUCUGACUCGACGGACCUAACAAAACUCGUAAAAUCGUCGAUUCCACUUCCUUCGUUGUGUAUGUACUGAUAUGGGGUUCCUGGUUUAGUGGUUGAACCGGGGUUGGACCGUUUUUAAACCGGGUCGGCCAUUUUAAAUAUUACAUAAAGUUAAAUCGGACCGAAAAAAUAUUGGAUUGAACGAAAUCAAACUGACAGUACAAAUAGUCAAAUUUUGAGAUUUAACCUUUGAAAAUUGAACAAUUUUAAAAAAUUUAUGUACAUUAUGAUGUUAUUCUUUUUUAAGUUUAUGUAAUAUAAUGAUAUUAUCUAUAGUUGAAGUCUUCCACACAUAUAUAUCUAGAAUGCUAAAGAAACCCUAAUGGAUCUUUCAAUCUUUCUUUAAUUGGGCUCCAACUACUCAAUACCCUCUCUCACACUUUUUUUCUCUAUAGAGAAACUCUCUCCCUUUUUCAUCAGAUUUUUUUCUCCUUGUAAUCUAAUCUUAUUUUUCUAAUAUUUUCAUUCUAUUUCUUCCCUAUUUGUCUCUUUUACUUUUUUCUUUUUGGAAGGUUAUUAGAAAAAGAGGACCACUAAAUAAUUCCGUCGACGUCCAGCAAUAGGGUUUUCCAAUUUUUUCACAGAUGGAUCCAUGUUUCCAAAGUUCUUUUGUUUUUUUUUCUGAUCUGAUAGUUGGUUCUUUAACUAGUUGAAUUAUCUGGUUUUCCGGGGAAAUCGGGUCAAUCCUCAGUUUUGUUCAUUCUCCUCAACCGCUAACUCAGUAUUGAUCAAAUGAUCGGUUCACAGUCGGACCGGCCGGGCUGAUAUGGUUUUGCUAACAUUGAUCUUAGUAGAGCCGACUAGAGGCCAUUCCAACCGAGCCACAAUGGCCUCAUACGAAAAACUCCUAGUUACCCUGAGUUCUUGAUAAUAAAUAAGAAUUGGAGUGCUUGUGCUAUGAUAUCACACUCCAAUUAGUGAAACUCAUUAAGCAUACACACAUUCCUUUCUUUCCAUCAGAAUCACAUAAGCAUUACCCAUCUUUCCAACUCCAAAUUCAAAACUUUGCGGUUGCUAAGUGAGAACCAAUCGCAUCAGUCAUUAGAAUCAUCAAAAUCAACCAGUGAUCAUGUUUAGAGUUACCUCAAAUCCGCCAAGUCCAUUGGCAAUCUCGGAAAUAGUGAAUUUGCAGGCAACCUGCAAAAUGGGCAUAUAUCACCAUGUCGAGGAUUAUGCUUAUACAUAUUAUACCUGUAGGUAAAAUUUACGAUGAAAUUUUCAUAAGAACUGCUCACCUUCGACGGAAUCUACAAUGACCAAGAACAAUUCCAAACAUCCGAGUUGCAAUUUGGAUUAAGACCCACUAAAAGAAAACCGUGUCCAUUAUUACGGAUAAAACCGGCCGUUGUCACUGAUAUUUCCAUGUCCCUGCCUCGUUGUCGCGGGAAAAUCAUCCGCGACAACGGGCGCCUUCAUAAUGAGGGGUGNNNNNNNNNNNNNNNNNNNNNNNNNNNNNNNNNNNNNNNNNNNNNNNNNNNNNNNNNNNNNNNNNNNNNNNNACGGCCGCCUUCAUAAUGAGGGUUGUGGGGACUAAACUAUCCGCGAAAAAUAGGGUUGGCGCGAACCCGUUAUGACCGGUUUGGUUCAAAUAGUUAGGUUGAAAGGCAUUUUAACAAGUUUAUCCGCAAAAACGGCAAGAGAUAUCCGCGACAAUGGCUAACAACAUUUGUUUUGCCGUCAUAACGGUUCCCCUAACGACGUUGAGUUUAUCCACGGCCAAGGUUGACAUUGUUAGUUUCUCCAUCCUACCCGUAAUGGUUGUUGUGCCAAAUACUAGGCCAUAAUAUCUGCGACAACAGCUCAAGUACUGCCUAAAAUUUUGUUAUUUUUGCUUGUUUCGUCCACUGUGGGCGCCUAAAAUAAAAGUUUAUAUAUGCACUAUUCUACACAUAACACAAUAUAUACCAAUAUCAUUAGCAUAACGAUAACACAUAUGAUCAUCCAAGAGUUAAUACUAUAACAUAAUCCAUAGAUCUACUCCAACAUAAUUCCUUGAUUUUUUACCUAACUAAAGUCAUUAGUUCACUAGACUACAUCACUAUCAACCUAGAUAUAACUACACUAGAGACUCGUCAUCCUCAUCCUCGUCAUUAUGACCAAGAUCCUUAUUAGCUCAAGUAUACAAAAGAAGAUAUAUAAAAUUGAAAUUAGGUUAAAACACAUAAAAUUAAGUAACAUGAACUUUAUAACAUAUAAAGAUUACUAAUAAUUUACCCGCCACAUCGUAGUCGUAGUUCUGUUGGAUGUGGUUAUAUUAUAUUAACCGCUACAAUCGUCGUUACGGAUCAUUAUCCGUGUCCGACGAUGACCUAACCGUGACACCCGUUAUCGCGGAUAUUAUCCCCCAUAACUAAUCUACGUCAGACAUCAAAUUUUGUUGUAGUGGCCAAGCUAUUCUUUAAAGCUAGUCAGCCAGUUUUAAUACCCCUAUUUUUUCGAAUAAACAGCUUUACUACUUGAAAUCCAAAUAAGCAUUCCGAUUCUUGAACAUCGCAAUGAAUAAUUUGCACGAUAGAAGUUGAUAUAGUUGACCAAAAACAGCUUUCAAUAAGAGCAGUAUUCUACUGAUAAGUCGUUCGAUUAACCAACUCACGAACUGUAGCAUCAACAUCAAACCUCAUCGGCGUAGAGGUCACAAAAUUACCGGGUACUAACGGAAGCCAUCCGUCUCCCCAAAUUCUAACGGACAUACAAUUUCCCACCCACCACCCAAGGCCACUCCAUACAAAACAUUGAGCACCAAAAAGGCUAUGCCAUAUAAAGCUAAACCCAACUCAGCUUUAAAGACAUAAUAGAAUUUUUAAAAUACUUAGCUUUCAUAAUUCUUACAAUAAGGGAAGAUGCUCUUGAGUGUAAGUUCCAAAGAUGUUUAGCAAGUAAAGUAAUGUUAAAGCCUAAAAAAUCACAUAAUCCCAUCCUAGCUUCGGAUUUCAAACUCAAUAGAUAUUCUUGACAAAAUGAGGGAUGAGCACUGGGUCGGGUCACCCAUCAAAACCCACCCGCCUAUAAUCACUCUCUACCACUACUACCCUUUUCCCCAUCACCAUAAAACUUUGCAUGCUUGUUUGUGUGUUUUUGUAGUUUUUUUGUGUGUUUUAUGUCGCUUUUCAUCGUUUGAGUAGAGAGAGAGAGGGAGAGAGAGAGGGAGAGAGAGAGAGGGAGAGAGAGUAUUUCAAGGGUUGCAUGUCAUACCAAUGAUUAAGAAUGCAUGAUAGAAGGUCUCGAUUCAAAUUAGGGUUCGGUCGGUGUCUGAUCGAAGGACGAAUGAUGCUUGCAUUAUUUUAUUUUUACUGAAAAAUUGGGCUUCUGGAGCAGCCUUUAGAUCAAUCUCAAGGUGUGUGGCUUUGCAUAGUGUGUGUCGUUUCCUUAAGUUUCUCUCGAUAGAAAAUCGAGUUUAUGGCGUGUGAUCCCACAUGCCAUGUGACUGAUUUUUGACAAAACGAACCGACCAAAGAACAACCAAAAACCCAACCGGCUCAAACCGUAAUGAACCAGAUUGAUUUUCAAACCGAUUUUCAACCAAAUCAAACUGAGUUUGACCAGACGCAUUGACCCUUCGUUGACCGGCCGUUGCCCCCGUUGACCGGUCACCAUGGAAGAAAAAACAUGGCAGUUUAGUAGUAUUUUGGGCAUAACAUUUUGCUCGGGAGUCUGAUUGACACAAGGUCAGUGACGUUGGAAACUUGUUCAGUUGCCUACAACUUUGAUGUCAUGAUGUGGCCUAAAUCCAUGCAGUUUGUGCUCAUUUUUCUUGGUUUGGAUUGAUGGAAUUUGAGAAAGUUUGAAUUGUGGUCUUGUUUGGUUUGAUGAUUUGGUGCGAUCGUGAUCAAUUUCUUGAUAGUAUUAUAGUGAUAUGUUCAUUGCAAAUGCUAACGUUUGGGAUGGUUGUCCAAAAUGGAUAAUUCUAGCUUUGCAAUGUGAAGAUUGCUGGAUGUUGAGACGUGAUCACUUUGUCACUCUUGUAUCGAUGGCAUGUUGUUGAUUUUCAUGAGAACUUGGAAUGGCAUCAUGAUGCUUCAAAGUGUGGUUGAACGUAGGUUGUUACUAGGCCUGAGAGUCGGUUAAUUUGGUUACUAACCAUCUGCUUAAUGUUCGGGGAAAAUGAUUUGGAGAUUAAAGUUGGUUAAUCGGUUUAACUGACCGACCAUAUGUAAUGGUUAAAAAGCCGACCAAUAACUGAUAAAUCGGUUAAAUAACCAAUUAUUAACCAACAGAUUAGUCGGUUAAUCCUAUGAACUGACUUUGAUUGAUUGACCGACUAUACCGACUUAACCUAACAAGAUCUGAAUCUCCAUGCUCAUCUCUGCCAUCGAGUGAGCCACGUUCUGCUCAUGAUAACCGUUCGUCCAAGCAUUCAUACUCUACUAAGAAAGCUUGCCAUGGCCGCCACUCUGAACACCGGUCAAAGAACUGAAUACUUGUUCCAAGAUCCGAACUUCCAGAACCGUCUCCAAUCCAUCUUCCCAAUUGUAGUUUGGACAAAGUUUCCUCAUCUGAAUUUUUACUCAAUCACACAACUACAACCUACACGACAACCAUAAUCAAUAGAGUGGAGGGGGAUAGGAUGAAACAGAGGACUGGUUGAAAUUAUAUGGGCCUAUGUUGCAUCCUCAAUAGCUCGUCGUCGCCAAGCCUCACUGAGCCGUCCCCGAGAGAGGAAGAGACGUAGAGUCUAGAGAUCGUGCUUUACUAGUGCUCAACACUCAUGGAGCCGUCACUGAGAGAGGAACAUAAUCCCUAAUGAAUCGUGAAAUCGAGAAUGAACGGGGAUAAGUGAAUAUGUUUGUGUGUGUGUGAGUUUGACCUAAAAAUGGGGGGAUUGGGAAUACGACGUAGACAUUUGGGUUCAGACUUGGGGUUCUUUUGACCGAUUAAUGUUGGUUAACACAAGUUAACUGACGGGUUUUAACCGAUUCACCGUUUAACUGAAGUCAGUUUUUCUCUUUGACCGUCCCCCAACCAACCUGUAGCUCGAUUAAACCUUCCUCUAACUUAUUCGGUCGGUUAAUCAAUUUUAAACGAUUAACCGAAACUGAAUUCCUACCCUUAGUUGUUACUAGGUGCUUUUGUUGCUCCCAAUUGAUGAUUUGUGAUUAUUUCCAUGCUCAUUUAAUUUGCUUCCAUUGCUCAUAUUUUGUCCUACCAUUACCCUUGAUGACUCAUUGGUUACUCACUGUUUUGGUAAAUGGUUCAAAGAAGCAUGAGGCAUAUUACUAGUCCAUUUGUUCCUGUAAUGAUAUAUCUUUGACCUCACCUUUUGGUAUAACUUGAAUGAUGCAUACGUUGUCACUUCAUGCUUUGCAUACACUCUUUAUGCUCGUUCUUGUUCAUUGGACUUGGUCAACAUUUGUGAGGAUUUCUUUGUGGCAAUUGAUGAUAAAUGAGUUAAGGUGGUCCCAUAGCUUUUGCUUACCCUUGUCUUACUAAUUUAUGAAUUAUAGGAUGCUCUUGUUUAGGAUUGCUAGUUAGUCUUGCUUGAGAAUAACUAGUUAUCUUCUUCAUUGGUUUUGCCUUUCUUUUACAUCUUGCCUAUGCCAUGUCUACUUAUGAGCUAUUUAUUGCCUAUCGUUGCCUAAUUCGAUUGGAUGCUUAUUGAGGUGGUUCCUUAGUGGCCGUAGGAUUAUGGGUUGACACCUCUACAUGCUUGAUGUGUAUGAUUAUUCUCCAUUUCGAAAUUUUCAAUGAUACUUUAAAGUCAAAUUUGAAUGCUCUUUACAAAUGUGUCAAUUUUGGCACAGUUUUCAAGGAUUCAUCAUUUAGUGUUUAUAAUUCAUUUUCGUUUUAAAUUUUCGUUUCCCACAUUUACUUUUCAUGUUUUGUUGCUUUUAUUGUUUUAAAUUUUAUUAUUUUUAUUUUAAUAGGCUUACUUUCCUUGUAUAUCCCCAAUUGUAACUUGGUAUCCGUAUUCUCAACUAAAUCAACAAAUGACACCAAAUAACUUAAAAUUGAGAACUAUAAGAGCUCAAAAGAAGGAGAUUUAGCAGAGUCUCUUAUAGGUUUCAAAAAAGCGAGGAAGGAUCUUCAAGUGGAGAGGACCCUUUCUCCUCCCUAACUCCAAUGGCGAACAAAACUCUAGCAUUAGACCACCUAAAGUCAGACGAUAAGCCAUGCAUUCAUCUCGUGGACUUUAUCUUCUAUUGCGACACCAUCAAGCUACACGGUGUUUCUGUUGAGGUUCACAUCGUGUUCCCCUUGAGUUUCAGCAACCAUCCACUCCAAGCACCUUAAAUCAUCCGUCUUAGUUUCUGCUUGUCCCCAAACACCGUACAUCGCAUGUACUUCGUGAUUUUUCCAUUCUUUGAGGCAUUUAGCUCCUCCUUGUACAUCAUACAGUUAUGAAUAAUGCCUCGACGUUGUUGUGUGCCUGAAAUUGAUAAAAAACACAACGCAACAACAUCAAAUGGACCCCAAACGGGUAUGAGACACUAAAUCGAGAUAGAAGUUACAAAUGCACAAAACAUCAUGUCGUGAAUGUUUCGAUCCGCGACACCGAUGGCUUGAAAUAUUUCAGAGUCGCCACCAAUCUGUUGAAGCGGAUUGGACGCUGUCGACAUAACCCAGGUCCUUUUGGACGUGAGUUAGAACAGGUCUGCGGAACAGAGAUCCUGGAUUCGAGAGGCGGUUACGUGCAGGGAAGGAUUAGCACCCCCAUAGCGCCCGUCAAACCGGUACUACUAAAUUUGAUAAGUUAUGUUUUAUUUUCUUAGUUUAGUGGUUUAAUUAUGCUUUAGUUUGGACGCAUAAGGUUAUGUAAAUUUUUUAGAGAAUAUUUUUAUUCAAUUGUAAGUCUUUAUGAGUUCCCACUCUUGUGGAAAUUUUUUUUUAUGUUGAUAAAUAUUUUGAGUUGAACAUUCUUAAUUUAAUUGUUUGGAUUUACGAAUUCCCAUUCUUGUGGAAAUUUUGUUUUACGCUGGUGAAUAUUUUUAAGUUGGUUAUUUUUAAUUUAUAUGUUUGGACUCAAGUCUUACGACUGCCUACGUACCUAAUUCUUUGGGAUCAAAGAUCAUGUAGUUCGUUAUGGAAAAGUUGAUUUGAGGAUUUUUUGUAAUUUUUACUAUUAUAAAAACCACGUUAUCAUGCUCAUUUUUUAUUUGAAAGACAUUUAUUUGGUUAUUUCAAAGUUGGAACUUUAUUUGCCCACUUAUGAUUAAAUGAUAAUUCUACAAAAUUCGAAACUCUUGUCACGGAUACGAAAUUCAUAUAACAUUGCUAUAAUAUCUUUAAAGGAUUAUUAUUAAGGAAAUUUCACAUUUUUUGCCAAUCGAAAAAUUAAUUGGUUUAUAUCAGUUAACUUAAUUUGACAUAAUUAAAAAUGCAUUACAAGACGGUUAACGAACUUACAUUUAAAUAAAUAUGUCACAAGUAUUUUUGGUGAUUUGACAAUUCUAUUGUGGUUAUGUUAAUGUUAAUUAAAAUGAUACGUUGAUUUGAAUAAUUGUAAAGUUUUGAGUUUUUAAGUUUACAACUUUAAGGUAUAAAUAUCAAAUAGGAUUAAAGAAGGUAUGACGUUUAUUCUGUUAUUCUUCCACACUUAUUUCACUUUUAUUCCACUCUUAAUAUGGCCUUAAUGAUAUAUGAAUAUAAUUGAAUCGACUAAAGGCUUGGCCUUUCUAAAUUAAUUGUGCCCAAGCUCGAGCUCGGCCCAACCGAACGAUGAGCCGAACCGGCGGGUAAGAGGAGGGCAGCCCGCGUGCCAAACUGGUCGAACCGGUUAUCCACGGUUCGAUCAGAAAACUCAAAAAGAUGAAAUUGCCCCUAGCGUUCCGUGCGCUGAAGAAGGGUGGCAGGGGAAAUUUUGUAACUUCACCUUAAACCUAAUCGGCCUUAUAAAAGGGCCUCUUAAAUCGAGAAAUGACUCAUUUGCAACUUCCCACUCUCUCUUUAUCAUCCCUCUUUCUAAACCGCCGCCCUUCUCCCCCCCCCCCCCCCCCCCCCCCCCACCCACCUUUAUCACGGAGUGUGCUGUUUUUUUCUAGUUCCUUUCUCUUCUUCUCAGCCGCCCUUUUUUGCCUCCUCUUACCUCUCAGGACCCCUCUUUCUACCUCCGUUUUUUCGAUUUUUCCAGAUUUGGACUUGCAUGUCAUCGGAGGAUACUCCGGUGAGUCCUCCGGCAAAAUGCAAGUCUCGAUCUGUAGAUCUAAUGUUUUAUUUUGGUAUUAAACAAUUUUGGUUAUUUGAGGGUGGUACCGACGGGGGUGGCGGGGAGGUAGAGAAAUGGAAAAAAGAGAAAGUUAGGUAAGUAAGAUUUCUUCCCUAUUCCUUUUGAUUAAUGUCUGGUUAAUUGCUAACGAAGCUAACUACCGGUUUCUUUGAUGACUUUUUUUAUGUCUUUGAAAAUGGGCAUAGUCGACAUGUUUUGGAAAAUGAGAGGAAAAGGAGAAGAUUGCUUUUAGGAGGUAAGACAGCUAAUUUUGAACCCAUUCUAAUUUUUCUAGGUAGAAGUAACAAUUCUAUUUGUUGAUAAGUUGCAUAAGAAACUAGGUUUGUUUUGUUACUGAAGUUGUAGUAGUAGUCUAGGUGUUUUAAAAAGUUUUGUUUGAAAAACUUUAUUUUUUUUACUAUUGUUUAAAUUUUUUUAGCAACAUUGUUUAUU